RNAcentral lists this long non-coding RNA (64290 nucleotides) under Hordeum vulgare. RNAcentral's name for it is "long non-coding RNA (HVUL_LNC004764)". The record is from RNAcentral. Lineage: Eukaryota; Viridiplantae; Streptophyta; Magnoliopsida; Poales; Poaceae.
AUCCACCCCGCCCCCAAAACAAUCGCGCCCGUGAGUCGUGGCUGCUGCUACCAAUCUGCCCAGCAGAGCCGGCUCUCGACACGCUCGCUCGCGCCGCGUUCGUUGCAUGCGCCGGGCCGCCGCCGCCACCAGCAGGGUCAGGAUCCACAUGGCGGCGGAGGAGGUCAGGCAGGCGUCCGCGGCCGCCACGGCGGCCGAGGCGUUGCCGGCCCCCGCGGGCUCCCGCUGGGCGCGGGCCUGGCCGGCCGCGCUGCGCUGGAUCCCCACCUCCACCGACCGCAUCAUCGCCGCCGAGAAGCGCCUCCUCUCCGUCCUCAAGUCAGUGCCCCCAUAUCCCCUACCCCUGUUCCUCUCCUCGGACCACGAUUACUUGUUUUCGUCCACGAUUACCACUUGUACCAUCUGCACGAUUAGUUGUUCCGCCUCUUCACUCCGCCAUCCCACGAUCCGUAACAGCUGAUUGACCUCCUCAUAGGGCCCAAUUUUGGGGUUGCUGGACGACUUGUAGGGCUGUAAUCCGCUCAUCCCCCCACCACGGUUCACUGGUUUCCGAGCGUCGGGCGAGGGCGAGUGCCAAAGCUGUCUGCUUGUGCUCAAAACCAUCCAGCCGGAUACUGAUUCUGCAGCCAAUUCUGAUGUUGAAGUUGCUACCUUCAUUGAUAGGACUAUAUCAGAGCAGUGUGUCACUUUGGGAUCACUAAGCCUGGNNNNNNNNNNNNNNNNNNNNNNNNNNNNNNNNNNNNNNNNNNNNNNNNNNNNNNNNNNNNNNNNNNNNNNNNNNNNNNNNNNNNNNNNNNNNNNNNNNNNUGAUUUAUUGCCACCAUUUGAGUACCCAUUGCUAUCAACUGCAAGCUUGUCGGCACAAUUGUCUGCAUGAAAAAUAAGUAAUAAAAGUUAAGCAUGGCAUAGUAACCGGUGCGAUAAUUUUCUAGCACCAGUAGAAAUGCAGAAUAGAAGGCAGUAAACUGGAGUAAAACGAUCCACUACUCCAAGGCUAUCAAGUACGAGCAACGAUCAAGCAAAGAGAGAGGAUUUCCAUAAUCAGCAAUUAUACUGAUUGCCAAGGAAGCAUUUCCCCAAACAGCUUUCGUCCAUUUUAUCAAACGCAUGUCUCUAGCAGGGUGCAAGAACCUCACAUUGAGAACAGAGUACACAGCGUCCGCAACGUCGUCCGCCUCAUCCGUGAUCCGGUGCGCGAUGUCUCCUGGGGCCAUCCCUUCUCUGCCAUCGAAAAACGCGAGGUCACGCGCGAGCAAACGCUCGAAGGCGCGCCCCCGCAGGCGCGCCACCGCCCGCAGCGCCGCCUCCCAGAGCAACGCCUGCUGCACGUACGCCGCGGCCGCGCGCGCGGAGGCGAGAGCCGCGAGCGCGACGACGCCUCUCGAAACCUCCGCCGACACGCCCCCGCCCGCGCCGGCGGCCAGAGCGCGAGGAAGGCGCCCCGCGGCGGGCACCGUGCGCGAGAGGCAGUACACGGCGGCGGCGGCGCACGCCCACCCYUYGCGAUGGCCCGCCACUCCGCGGCRACGUAGGGGAGCACAUCUNNNNNNNNNNNNNNNNNNNNNNNNNNNNNNNNNNNNNNNNNNNNNNNNNNNNNNNNNNNNNNNNNNNNNNNNNNNNNNNNNNNNNNNNNNNNNNNNNNNNACUAUAGGGCGAAUUCCACAUCAUCAUCUUUUCUUCUCACGCAUCUUCAGUCUGAGGUGUUUCGACACCAAUCGGAUCUGAAUCUCGGGCAGAAAUGAUGGUUGGGACAUUUCCCAAUAAUUAUAACCUUGGCCUUUAUGUAACCGGUACGGUGAUGUCUUGUUUUUCACACCGGGCCGAAGGACCUAUUGUUAUAAACUCUCCCAUAUGUAAGAUUCGCCAUCCUUUCAUGUGGAAACUAUAUGACUUAUUUCAUAAGUUGACCCUCAUGAAUCCUCUUUGUGUGCCCAUUGGUCUGACCUUUAUCGGAUGACCGUGUCGAUGCUACCUUGAAGCAUGGAUGUGGCAUUUCAAAUGUCAAUAGGAACAUUGGAAGCGUAAGGCUAAAUUGUUCCUGAUCAAUUAUCCAGACCACGUGGUAUGGGUAAACAUCUUGAUUUUUCUUGCCUCUUUAUCAAAAUGGUUAUGUACUUGAUGACCUAUCUUGUAUACCAUACCCUAUGUUUUCCUCGGGAAUGGUAUAUUUUAAACUCUUGUGUGUGUGUGCACACAUUCUCAUUCUCAUUAAUCUGUUUGACCUUUCUUGUGGCAUAACUUAUCUAAGCAGUGUUAAUUUCCUGCUUAGGUAAAGAUCUCGGUAUACAACUCUAUCGGUAAGACCCCGUUAGUAUUGUUGGUAACAUUCCGGUAACCGCCGGUGGACGAGAACCUUGCCUAUUGGUCUGCCUCGUUUCAACGAGCAGGAAAAUGGUUCUAUUCGUCCCCCGCACUUGGUACUGACGUUGUUGCCAACAUAACUGACAGGUUAUCCUCUGACAUGUCUUGCUACCAAGACCAUAUAAUAUGUCACCCCUCUACCUACUCCCGGCCCACAUGGUGGACCCAUAACCCAAAGUUCCACAGGAUUGAAACCUGGCUCUCCUGUACAUCUUUGACUCCAAAGUAUCCUUUGCACUUGGCUCAUAUGGAAUUCCCGAUCCACCGUUCAAUGGAUUGAUCACUCCUUCGUCUAGAUGUUAUCCAACAUGCUAAAGAUCAAGUUCGCAUUAAUUACGACAAUCUGAAGGCUGCUCAGUCUCGUUAGAAAAGUCAGUAUGACCGUCAUCAUCAGGAUAUGGUCUAUCAACUUGGCGAAAAGACAUACCUUUGCAUCACACCGAUGAGAGGCGCACACCAUUUUGUAAUCAAGGGCAAGUUAGCUCCUCGCUAUAUUGGUCCUUUCACUGUUCUUGAAAGGCGUGGAAGAGUGGCUUAUCAAUUGGAAGUGUCGGCGAACCUUUCUCAGGUUCUCGAUGUCUUCCAUGUUUCUCAGCUCCGCCGCUGCUUCAAGGGUCCUAUUCGAGCAGUGGAUCAUGGUAUGCUUGAGCUGCAACAAGACCUCUCUUAUAAAGAGCAUCCGGUCCGCAUUCUCGACCAAGUUGAACGUAAAACUCGUCGCAAAGUCACCAAGUUUCUUAAAGUGCACUGGUCAAAUCAUUCUGAAGGUGAGGCCACUUGGGAACACGAGGAUCAUCUUCGUGAUGAAUACCCCGGGCUCUUUCCUUCUACCUCUUAAUUCUCGGGACAAGAAUUUUUGUUAGUAGGGGAGAAUUGUGACAUCCUCGACUUUUCCUACAGUAAUGAUUGUAAUUAAGCGACAGUGAUCCCGCGCUAAUGAUGCCACAUCAUCGCAAGUGAUAUCAAUGAUCUCGUGUUGGUUGAAACCGAAUCAAAUUUGAAGCAUUAAAAUAAAGUCAGACGAGAAAAUAUUUUAUGUUGUUGAAAUAAAAACGUUGGGGAGAUAUAAAAAUUCCCUAACGGAUUAUAAUAUCGAAUCAGACACUUUUAGAAUUAUUGAUAAUCCCAAUAUAUUUGAAAGUGGAGCUUUAAAUCAAAUAAAUAAAAGGCAUGCAAAACAUCCCAAGUUUGACAAGAUAAUAGCAUGAAACCACCAAAAAUUAUAGAUACGUUGGAGNCGGUGAGCCCCUCCUCGGGCUCCUCCCACCAUCUUGUUCUCCUCGCCGUCCCGGUUCCGUUCCGGCAAACGGGGCUUCGAUCCGUCGACGGUAGAGACCGGUAGGUAGGAUUGAAGAUUUUGUUCUUCUAUGUUGAGUUAGCUGAGAGAACUCUUUGCUGUGUGUUAACAGAGAGAGUUGGGAGAGAUGAGAGUUAGAAAAAAAUAGAAUAAGUGAUGUAUUAGAUGCGUAUGUAUUUUGUAUGUAUGAGAUGCACGAUGUAUGUAUUUGCGUAUAUAGGUAUAUGAAGAAUACGAUAUUUGUAUGGUUUUGUAUCUGUGAGUAAAAACAUGUUUUUGGCCUAAAGCUACUUACCGGUGGGGCCAACGCACCCCGUUGUCUAUAACAGGGAGGCCCCACACCCCUUUUAAAGAAAAAAAAAGUUUUUAUUAAGUAAAUAAAUAGAUAUAUUAUUUAAUUAAUUAAUUUGGUAAUUAGAAUAAUGAGAGUAUGACACAUGGGUCCCUCACUAAAUUAAUCUGAUUAAUUAAUAUUUUAGUCUUAAUUAAAACUUGUGCCUAUGACGUUCGGGACCCGCUGGUCAGUUGACCAGUCAACUGUUGAUGUCAGCAUGACAUCAUGCUGAUGUCAUAAUAGUUUUUUAUUAAAUUAUUUAAAUCUGUUUUUAAUUCCUAAUUAUUGAAUAAACCUUUAAAAAUUAAUAUAAAAUAAUCCGUAAGUCAGAUCAAAAUAUUUUCAACAUGAAAGUUAAUCAGCAGAACGAGACGAACCUGGAUACACGGUCCUUUCGUCUGUCACGCGUCCCUAGCAUAGCAAACAUGGAACAUUUCUAUCGUUUCCAGUAUGACCGGUAGUAGCCCGAGACCCGGAAAAUAUCGUCAGAUAUUCUUCCGACCCGUCUAUGACGGAUGUUGCUGUGUUAGCUCAUGUCUUGCCUACAUCUUGCCAUGUCAAGCUUUGUGUUGCACCGUUGCUAUUAUUUAUUGUUUCAUCCCCCUCUUCUUACCUGUAGACCCCAAGACUGACGAUGUUGCCGGGUACAUCUACGACCCUGCCGAUCAGUCCUUUGUCGCAGAGCAGCAAGGCAAGCAAACCCCCCCCCCCUUGAUCAUUCCUAUAUCGCCUAUGUCUUUCUUCCUAAUGCUUGCAUUAGUAUUUUGCUACUGUUGUAGUUAGCUCCUAUAUCUGAUGCAUAGCCUAUUUUUGAUGAACUGCUACUUUCAGUCCUGUACUUUAAAUCUUCUUAGUAUAGGUGGAGCAGUCAUCCCCUCUGACCCCGUAGUUCAGUUGCCCCGCUUGUUUUCAAAUCUCGAUCUCUGAUCGACGAGCCAAACCCGACACAGCACAUACACCCCCCUUAGUUGUACGACGCUACAGAGAUACUAUCGGGUACCGAGGGUGACACCUCGCUAAGUACUCCAGAUGAUAUAUCUGUAGUAUAGCUAGUCGGUCGUGGUUAUCGAGGGUGAUUCCUCUUUCACCAUUCCCGACGAUGCCUCUGUCGUGCAACGGAUCCGAUACCAAAUACGUUGUGGAGUCGUGUUCUCCACGGAGGUUUGAGGGUUCUUGGGAUGGGUUCUAUGUUGCUGCCCAUUCAUUUCCUAUUAAUAAGGAGAUAUGUAAAGCCAGUCAUUCUAUUAAAGAGAACUUCCAGUGGCAGAUUUUAGAUGGUAAUUCGGUGCGAUUGUUAGGUGUGGGACCCUCGAAGGUGAUUCCUCUAAGCCCACCUUGACGGGUACAUCGUUCCGAAUCCAACGAGGGUGAUACCUUGGAUUCCCCCCAAUGUUACAACCACACAGUUACUCGACCAUGUUACUGGGAUCUUUGGUGAUUAGUUGUAAGACGGGUGGAUUCCCGUGAGACUGUGUUGUUGGCCUAAUUAAAAUGUUAAUGGAUUUGGGUAUUUGAUCUGGGUUGGUCGGAGACCUUUUCGCACUAACCGGCUACGUGGGAAGAAUUAUGGGUACUCGGCAUCGCGGUAUCAGCCGAAGCUUUUUAGAUGCCAGCAAUGUAGCAGCGCGCGCCCGAGUGGUCCCGAGAUGCAUCGCUAUUGUGAUUAAGGGAUGCUAGGACUGACGUCGGCCGCCCACACCACAUGCAGGAGCGCGAAGGGGAACUGGGCCCACGAACCCUUUGUGCUUAGGUGUUAGACCGGCGGGCUGGCCUCUCUGAUUAGUCUUAGGUGGGGCUGCGACGUGUCGAUAUUCCGAGGCCGGGCAGGACCCAGAAAGUAUGUCCGGCCAGAGUGUUAUCGAGCGUGAUGGGACAUGUGGUGCACCCCUGCAGGGAUGAAAAUUAACUAUUCGGAUAGCCGUGUCCACGGUUACAGGACGACUUGGAGUUGUGCCCCGAUCUUAUACAACUACAAUGGUUACUUAACUGGAAUUAGUUUGCCUCGGGAUUGCUUCCUUGCAGGGAGUUGAGGGAGGAUCUUUAGGCGUGACCUCACUUUAAUAUUGCUGCAACAAUAUGACUAUUAAUGUUUUACCCCUGUUCUACUCUCGUCUAUUGCUGCAAGACCCUGAAGAUGCUAGUCUUCGAUAGGACUACGCCUUCUCUCUAUUCUUGCGUUGCUGCAGUUAGUCCACAUAUAAAACCCCUUCUUUGAUACUGGUGCAUAUUUAGCAUAGUUCUGAUGUAAGACUUGCGAGUACUUUGGAUGAGUACUCACUGUUGCUUUGCUCCCCCUUGUUCCCUUGAUACGUUGCUGCGACCAGAUGAUGGAGCCCAGGAGUGGAGUUUCCUGCCGAUGUCUGUCAUCCCGAUGGUGUCAUCUUCGUGGAGGCCGCUGAAGCCUAGGAGUAGUUUAGGAGGUUCCCAGGCAGGAGGCCUCGCCUCGUUUGAUCGUGUUUCUUUUGUGCUAGCCUUCUCUAAGGCACCCCAUGUUUUAUGUCUGUACUCAUAUAUUGUUGCUUCCGCUGACUCGUGUGUUUAUCGAGCUUCUGUAUUCUAUCCCUCGAGGCCCCUGGCUUGUAAUAUGAAGCUUGUAUUAUUUUAUUUGUGUCUAGAGUUGUGUUGUGAUAUCUUCCCGUGAGUCCUUGGGUUUGAUCGUACGCAUUUGCGUGUAUGAUUAGCGUACGAUUAAAACGAGGGCGUCACAGUUCCAGAGUUGUGCAGAUUCGAGAAUUUACACAAUUGAGGAAUCUCAUGAAGAAUUUGAGUGGCUUAGUGAAAUUCAUCAAGUGCUUGAGGAAUGAGUGUACAAGGCUAACAGACAUACUGAGGAAAAACAGAUUGCGUGAGUCUAAAGAGAAAUAAUAGAUCAAUAGACGUAGUAAAAUAGGAUUUUAAUUACCCUGAUUGAAGAACACGAAGAACUGAGGCAUUAAAAGAUAGAAGCUCUUCGGUUCAAAUCUUCCGCAUCCUAACUUGGCGACAGAGAUCAGCUACGGCGAUGGCGGAGAAAGAGAUUAUGCGUCGGCGUGAGUUCGGCGACGGCGAGGGCGAGGCAGCAAAGCUUUUCCUCACCGGCGACGAUAUUGCUAGCGGUGGCGUUAGGGUUGAGCUCGAGCGGAGAAGACGAGAGAGUUUUGACUAGGGGGGUAAGGGCCUAUUUAUAGCUCAAGUGAAAAACUGUUCGGCCGAAACUUUCGGACCGAACUGCCCUUGCCCAUUCGUCUUGGCAUGACACAUGGAACCCACGACUCAGGCGGUGGAGUUCGUGGUUAUCCGAUCGUGAGAACUGGGUCCAGUUACUGUGUAACGUUAUAAAAAUGAUUUUUGAAUCUUUGAGGAUUUCGUUACAAACUCCUCAGCUGACAAGGACACAGUGGGGACUUUGAACAAGUGUCAAGUAGAACGCAUAUGAAGAAAUGAAUAGACUGGGUUGAGCUUAGCAUAGAGGGGAGUCGGGUCUGAUCACAUUCACUUAGAUGAAAUAUCAAAUUCAAGACUGAGCUAUAAGUGAAUGUUGUUGAGGACUUUGAAAUCUCAGUCUAUACAUAUAGAUAUAUCCAAAUGAAAAUCAUCAAACGUUUUGAAGAAUUUGAAUAUUUUGAAAAACUUCAGGAUUUUCUGACAAAGUGUCACAUUUGAAUUUCAACUUUGAUGAAAAACAGCUUGAAGAAUUUCAAAGUUUGGUGGUGGCGUGACCCACCGUAUAAGAAUGAUGAUUUCAAGCGCCGCGUACAAUUGUCAAAGGACCCUGAGAACCAAAGAGUGUUAUUCUUCAUUGAUUGAAGAAAAUCAAUUCUUCACACUAAGAGUGAUAUUCUUCAUUAAUUUCCUCACACUAAGAGUGAUAUUCUUCAUUGAUUGAAGAAAAUCGAUUCUUCAUGUGUUGCACAUCUAAGUCAUCAAUUUUGCAUAAGUGUUAGGAUAUGUGCAUGUUUUCACAAAACAUUUGAAGACUCUAGGAUAUUUAGCUCAGACCGAAACUUGCAAAACCUUCUCUAAUCCAAGGGCUUAGUGAAAAUAUCUGCUAGCUAAUUGUUAGUCUUCACAUGAUCGAUGAUGAUAUUGCCCUUGAGGACAUGGUCCCGAAGAAAAUGAUGACGAAUCUGGAUGUGCUUAGUCUUCGAGUGUUGUACUCGGUUGUAAGCGAUCUUGAUUGCACUCUUAUUGUCGCAGUAGAGGGGCACAUUCUUCAUGUUGAUGUCAUAGUCUCUGAGGGUUUGCUUCAUCCAUGGAAGUUGAGCACAGCAGGAUCCAGCAGCAAUGUACUCAGCUUCGGCAGUGGAGAGAGAAACACGGUUCUGCUUCUUCGAGGACCAGCAGACUAAUGAUCUUCCGAGGAAAUGGAAAGUGACAGAUGUUGACUUGCGAUCCACACGGUCACCAUCAUAAUCAGAAUCAUAAUAUCCAACGAGAUGAAGAUUUGAGCCCUACGGGUACCAUAAUCCUAGUGUUGGUUUGUGGGCUAAGUAUCGAAGAAUAUGCUUCGCAGCCAUAUGGUGUGAUUCCUUUGGUUUUGCUUGAAAACGAGCACACAUGCGAACACUAAGCAUUAUAUCUGGCCUAGAUGCACAUAGAUAAAAUAAAGAGCCAAUCAUCGAGCGAUAUACCUGUUGAUCAAAAUCUUUACCAUUUUCGUCAGUGCAGAGGUGGCUGCUCGUAGGCAUAGGAGUCUUGACGCCUUUGCAUUUAUGCAUGUCGAAUUUCCUCAGAACAUCCUUGAGGUAUUUCUCCUGUGAUAUGAAGAUGCCAUUGCGUUGUUGACGAAUUUGAAGACCUAAGAAGAAUUUGAGCUCCCCCAUCAUGGACAUCUGAUAUUCUUCACUCAUCAUGCAAGCAAAUUCAUCACUGUAACGUUUGUCAGUACAACUAAAGAUAAUGUCAUCGACAUAUAUUUGGCACACAAAUAGUUCAUUAUCAUAGGAUUUUGUGAAAAGAGUUGGAUCGAGUGAACCAGGUUUGAAGCCUUUCUUCAUGAGGAAUUCCUUCAAUGUAUCAUAGCACACCCGAGGGGCUUGCUUGAGGCCAUUGAGUGCCUUUUUUAGUCUGAAGACUUUGUCUGGAUGCUUCGGAUCCUCAAAACCUGAGGGCUGAGCAAAAUAUACUUCUUCCUCAAGCUUACCAUUGAGGAAUGCACUUUUCACAUCCAUUUGAUAUAGAGUAAUGUUAUGAUGAUUAGCAUAAGCAAGUAGUAUUCGAAUAGCUUCAAGUCUAGCAAUAGAUGCAAAAGUUUCAUCGAAAUCAAUUCCUUCAACCUGUGUGUAGCCUUGGGCUACAAGUCGUGCCUUAUUCCUCACCACUUGACCAUCCUCAUCUUGCUUGUUUCAGAAAAUACACUUGGUGCCGAUGAUAUUGUGCUUGCGAGGAUCUCGUCGUUCGGCGAGUUCCCAUACGUCAUUUAGCUUGAAUUGAAUAAGUCCAUCUUGCAUGGCUUGAAUCCACUCAUGUUCCAUGAAAGCUUCAUCAACUUUUGAGGGUUUUGUGAUAGACACAAAAUAGGAAUGCCCACAAAAUUUUUAACUAAAUGUGAAGCUUUUGAGCGAGUGAGAGGACCUGGCGCAUUGAUGUCAUCGAGGAUUUUGUCAAGUUAUACUUCAUUUGCAAUCCUUGGAUGAUCUGGUUGAGGAUUUUGUCUGGGCUGAGGAAUUUGAUCUCGAGCAAUUUCCUCAGGUGCACCUUCUUGAAUUUCAUCAGUGCUGGGGAAGAUUUCUUCAGCAAUUUCCUCAGUAUGAACAAUGUCUUCACUAGCAUUGAACUUGAUAGCUUCCUGAGGAGAUAAUUUGUCUGGCACAGGAGGCAAUUGCUCUCUUUGCGAGCCAUUAGUUUCAUCGAACUGCACAUCUAUAGUUUCAACAACCUUGUUGUGAUAGGUGUUGAAGACUCUGUAGGUGUGCGAGUCCUUUUCGUAACCAAGCAUAAAACCUAGAUGUGCUUUAGGUGCAAAUUUUGAACUAUGGUGAGGAUCUCUAGUCCGGAAUUUUGCACCGAAGACUUUGAAAUAACUUACAUUGGGUUUCUUAUCACUGAGAAGUUCAUAUGAGGUUUUCUUGAGCAAUUUGUGAAGAUAUACCAUGUUGAUGAUGUGGCAAGCAGUGUUGAUUGCUUCAGGCCAGAAGUGACGAGGAGUCUUAUAUUCUUCAAGCAUAGUCUGUGCCAUUUCAACCAGAGUCUUGUUCUUGCGUUCAACGACGUCAUUCUGUUGAGGAAUAUAAGGAGCAGAUAAUUCAUGAGUAAUACCAAGUUCAUCAAGAUGAUCAUCAAGAAUAGUGUUUUAGAAUUCUGCCCCAUUGUCACAACUGAUGUUUUUGAUCUUGACACCGAAGUUCGUCGAGGCCCUUGAGGAAAAUCGUUUGAAGAGUUCCUGCACUUCAGUUUUACACGGCCUACCCAGCUAUCGAGAAUAGUCGUCAACGAUGACAAAGCCAUAUAAGGAUGCUGCAUUUGUUAGCGUAGCAUAAUGAGUAGAUCCAAACAGAUCCAUAUAAGGAUGUUGCGUGUGCAAAUUCCUCAUGCCUUCAUGACCAAGUCUUCGAUGCCAUAGCCAGCCUUCUGAGGUUUUUUCUAGUAAGCAUGUGGCUGAUUGAGGACCUGUGGAAAAAUCAACAAUGUACAAAUCUCCUCUCCUAAAUCCUUCAAAGACCUUGGAUAUGUCAGAUUCCAUGAUGACUACACAUCUAUAUUUUCCAAAGAUAACAACCAUAUCAAGAUCACAAAGCAUUGAGAUUGACAUGAGGUUAAAUCCAAGGGAUUCGGCUAACAUCACUUUGUCCAUGUGUCUGUCCUUGGAAAUAGCCACUUUGCCAAGUCACAAUACCUUGCUUUUACCUUUGUCAGCAUAAGUGAUUUGCUUUAGAGGUGAUGGAGUCAGUGGCAUAUUCAUGAGCAAGCUUUUAUCAUCAGUCAUGUGGUUUGUGCAACCACUGUCAAGAACCCACUCAGUACUCUUGGGUUUGUCAUCCUGCGCAUGAAUUAGUACAGCUUACCAUCUCAUAUGCUUCAGACUUGAAGAAUAUGAUUUCAGUUUCAUGAGAUAGGAAUUUCAUCAUAAACAGUAAAUUUGAGGACGUGUGAAAUGUUAUCAUUCAUCAAUUUUAGCUUACGUCCAAUCAAGCAUUUUCCUCAAGUCUCCAGCAAAUUCUUCAUAUGAUGAUUUUCAUCUGGAGAUCUCACGUGCAGAAGUGAUUAGUUCAAUUUCUUCACCCCCACAUCGAAGGGGUGGCAAAGAGUUCAUCAUCCUGCGAGCACCAUAUGAGAAAGGGGGCACUGAAGCUAAUGCACUUCAUUUCACAAUAGGGGGGUUAGAGUACUCAAAUGAAUAGGCAGAGAAGUUCUUUGAGGAUUUAUGAACAUAAUGAUAUUAGAAUAAUGCUCAUAUUCAUAUCCCUUGUAAUUUCCGUGCAUAUCAGAAGCAUUAGCACGAGUACGAGCAUAGUUUUGACCAGUUGAAGAUUUUGAUCCUCUUGAAGACCUUGGUAUUCCGGAGGAAUUUGAUCUGGGGUUCAGGUUCUUCACAUGUGGUGUCAUGAGGACAUUCACCUGAAGAUUUUCCAAGCAACUUUUGGGAAUCCAAAUUUUCCUCAGGGGUGGUCCAUUCCCGCAGUUAGUUCCAACAUAUCGAGAAAAUACUUCGCCAGAUUGAUUUUUGAACAAUUUAUAUUUGGAGUCAAAUGACUCAUCUUAGGAAUAGGAUAAUUCACAUGCAAAGCCUAUAAGAGUAGAUGGGUCAACAGAGGGUCUUUUAGUAGGAACCCAUGAGGUUUUGGGGUACUGCUUAGGUUUCCAAUAUGAUCCAUCAGCAUUCAAUUUUCUCUCGAAGGAAAUUCCUUCUUUCCUCGGAUGCCUGUUCAAAAUCUGCUUUUUGAGCACAUCGCAAAGGGUUUUGUAACAAUAGAAGCAUUUGAGACUUUUGUACAUGUCUGUCACAUACAAUUCCUUCACCCCUGCAUUUUCGUGAGUAACAUUUGUGGUUUCGUCAAGUGAUGAAUUUGAUACCACAGGAGCAGUUGAAGAAUUUGCAACAAUAGAAGCAUUUGAUAUUUCUGGUGAAGAAUUGGCAGUUUGACGCUCGAUGCAUUUGAGACAUGGUGAAGUGGAUUCAACCUGAGCGGCACUCAUCUGUUGAGCAAGCAAUGAAUCGUUUUCCAUUCGGAGAUCAUCAUGAGACAUCUUCAACUUCUCAAGAUCAAGUUUCCUUUGAAGAAAUUCAAAGGAAAGUUUCUCAUGAUCACAGAAAGUGUGCCAUAACGAUCUUGAAGACUAUCAAAUCUAGAUUGAACACUUUUCACAUCUUGAGUGAGGAUUUGAGUAUGAUUCAUUUCAUCAUUCAACAGACCAUCGCUUCUGUCUAGCAGUUUUUGAAGCUUUUCAAUGCCACUUUUUUGUUUAGUUGCAACGUUGGCAAGUUUACUAUAGCUGGGUUUUUUAUAAUCAUCAGGUUCACAGCCACUUGAAUCAUAGGAGGAAGUGCCAUUCGGUACCUCUGAAACUUUUGCCAUGAAGCAAUAGGUUGGAGCGAAGUCAUCAGCAUAGUCAUCGGUGUAGAUAGCGUUGUCAUUUUAUUCAAGGUAGAAGAUUGACUUGCUGACGAAUGUGGUUGCUAGCGCAAAACUUGACAAACCAAACUCUGCGUCUUCUUCAGAACCUUCCUCUUCAUCACAUUCCUCAGAUUCUUCCUAGAAUCCAUUUCCUUGCCAAUGUGUGCCCGAGCCUUUCUGAAACUAGUCUUCUUGUGUGAUGAGAACUUUGACGAUGAGGAUUUUGAAGAUUUUUUCUUUUUCUUUGAGUCAUCAGAACUUUCAUCCUUGUAUUUCUUCUUCUUUGAUUCCUUCACCCAACGAGGACAAUAAACAAUGUAGUGACCAGAUUUCUUGCAUUUGUGGCACGUUCUUUUCAUGUAGUCCUCAGAUGAAGAUUCUGAUUUCAUCAUAUCUCUUCUUGAAGAUUUACCAAACUGGACACGCCUUGUAAACUUCUGGAAUUUCCUCACCAGUAUUGCAAGCUCCUGUCCAAGUUCUUCAGGAUCACCAAUGCUGCAAUCUGAAUCUUCUUCUUUAGAUGAGUAAAUUGCUUUGGCCUUCAGCGCACGAGGUCUUGAGUAGCUUGGUCCAUACAGAUCUCUCUUUUCUUAUUGUUAGAAUUCAUGAGUAUCGAGUCUUUCAAGUAUAUCAGUGGUAUCAAGCAUCUUAUAGUCUCCUCUUCCUUGAAUCAUCAGAGCUAGUGUAUCAAAUGAUGGAUCCAUAGAUCUUAGCAGUUUCUUCAAAACUUCAUGGUUAGUGAUGUCUCGAGCUCCCAGUGCUUGCAGUUUAUUUGAGAUAUCAGUGAGGCAAUCAAACGUAUCUUGGCAGCUUUCAUUGUCAAGCCUCUUGAAGAGAUUGCAAAGAACAUCAACACGAGAGUGACACUGAGUUGAAAUUCCUUCAUUGACUUUGGACAGCCUAUCCCAGAUAAGCUUAGUUGUGCCCAAAGCACUCACUCUGCCAUACUGACCUUUGCUCAGAUGACCACAGAUGAUAUUCUUCGCUUGAAAAUCAAGUUGCUUGAAUUUCUUCACAUCAGCGGCAGAGACGGUAGCAGCGAUGGAGGGAAUACCAUGUUCCACAAUGUACCACAAAUCAUUGUCAAUAGCCUGAAGAUGCAUCUGCAUCUUGGUCUUCCCGUACAGAAAGUCCUUUCCUUCGAAGGUAGGACAUCCUGCAGUAACCUUGAUCAUUCCUACAAUCGACAUAACUAAAACUUCAGGUGGUUAAACCAAAAUCACACAGAACAAGGGAGUACCUUGCUCUGAUAACAAUUGAAAGUGCGUUAUAUCGACUAGAGGGGGUGAAUAUGCGAUUUUUAGAAUUUCAUCGCUGAGGAAAUUCCUUGUGAGGAAAUUCCUCAAUGAUGAAUUACGUGCAACAGAAAUAGCACAGGAUCACAAGUGCAAAGACUACUACAGCAGAUCGCUUGAUGAAGAUUAUGAGAAUCGGUUUGCACAGUACGCAGGUACAAAAUAAGCAGGUGAAGACUACCUGGUGUGAAGAAUUUGAGGUUGAGGAAAUUCAGUGAAAGUCUUCAGCAAAAUCUUCGAACAGUGACAAUGAAAGUCUUCAACAUACAAUAUUGAGGAAUUGAAAGAGUUGAAGAAAUAGAACCCGAGUCACGAUGAAGACAGCUGUUGAUGACCCAGUUCCAACUGAUGUGCCAAUCUUACGUCUGGUUUGGAGUGGCUUGGUAUUGAAACCAAAAGACAUACAGUCCCGGGACACACAGUCCCUACUGUAUUCUCCUUCAGCUAAGGACACGCAGUCCUCGCCCAACACUCGUGGUAAGUCUUCAGGGCAGACUUCCAAACCCUCACAAAUCGUUCACCCGGCGAUCCACAAAUUGACUACUGGAUGCUCUAGACCAUGACGCCUAACCGUCUCGAGGAUGCACAAUCCUCAAAGGUAAAAGGCUUCAGUUCCACACAGGAACAAAUUCUUCAGUGAUGCUCAAUCACUUAGUUUUUGGUUUGUGGUUUGGUGUUUGGGGUAUUUCCUCACUUGAUGAUUUACUCUCGAAGACUGUGAGGAAUUUGGGUUGCUCUAAAUGACAAGUGUCAGUUUCUCUCGGAGCAGCCAACCAGCUAGUGGUUGUGGGGGGUGCUGCUAGCAGUCCCCGGCAACAACACUAGAAAAAUGUUGUUGACGUGUCCCUGACUUGAUGCCUCAGCGGCAACAGAGCCAGAACUGCUCCCAGUUGCUCAACAAUUAGCAAUUCUCUUGCAAUGGCCCACCAGCGCGUGGGUUCGUGGCAGUUUUUGAGGGUAGAGUAUUCAACCCAAAUUUGUUGGCUCGCCAGACGAGAAGUGAAAGGAUACUCUCAAGUAUUAGCAGCUGAAUGUGUCGGAUUCAACCGCACCUGAAAGAUUAAUAUCUGCAAGCAAAGCAUCAGUAGCAAAGUAGUAUGAUAGAAACGGUACGAGAAACGAUCUAUUGAUGGCAGACUAUUCCUAAUUGUUGUAUCAAUGGCGCCAGUAAGUUGCCCGUGGACGGGAAAUAGUCUUUUCUCGGCAACGGCGAGCGAAAGAGUAUUGUAGCGGGUAGCAGCAGUGUAACGAGUAACAUGAGUGGCAAGGAACAGCAGUAGUGACAGCAGUAGCAAGUAGCAACAGUAGCAAGUAACAGCAGCAGAGCAAAGCAAGUAACAGCAGCAGAGCGAAACAAGUAACAACAGCAGAGCAAAACAAGUAACAACAGUAGUGGGACAAACUCGUAGUCAAUGGGUCGGUGAUUCGUUUGGAUGAUAUUCAUCAUGCAACAGUUAUAACACAGAGAGAUAUAUGGCUAGCUCCCGUUCGUCAAUGUGAUGUAGGCAUGCAUUCCGUGUGUAGUCAUACGUGCUUAGGGAAAAGAACUUGCAGGACAUCUAUUGUCCAUCCCUCCUGUGGUAGCGGGGUCCAAAAGGAUACUACGGGAUAUUAAGGUUCUCCUUUUAAUAAAGAACCAGAACAAUGCAUUAGCACUUGGUGAACACAUGAACUCCUCAAACUAUGGUCAUCACCGGGAGUGGUUCCGGUUAUUGUCACUCCAGGGUUGUCGGGUCAUAACACAUAGUAGGUAACUACAACUUGCAAGAUCGGAUCUAAAACACACAUAUAUUGGUGACAACAUAAUAAUUUCAUAUCUGAAAUCAUGGCACUCGGGCCCUAGUGACAAGCAUUAAGCAUGGCAAAGUAGUAGCAGCGUCAAUCUUAGAACAUAAUGGAUACUAGGGAUCAAUGCCCGUCAAAACUAACUCGAUUACAUGAUAGAUCGCAUCCUACUCAUCACCGCCCUGCGAGCCUAUGAAUAGAUUACUCACGAACGAUGAAGAGCUUCAUGGAAUUGGAGAGGGAAGAAGGUUGAUGAUGACGAUGGCGACGAUUUCCUUGAUCCGGAGCCCAAAACAGACUCCAGAUCUACCCUCCAGGGCAAGAACGGGAUGUGGCGGCGCCUCUGGAUCGUGAAACGCGAUGAAAUCUUCUCUUCUGAUUUUUUGUGGACGAAAGUGGAUUUAUAGAGCGGGAGUUGGGGGUGGCAGACCCACGUGGGCCCCACAAGCUUGGUUGCCGGGGCUUGUGGCCCAUUGGCCCAUCCCCUCCGGUGGACCUUUGCGCACGUAUUUUUCAUAUUUCCCAGAAAUAUUCUCCGAAAAUUUUCAAGACGUUCCGAGAACUUUCAUUUCUGCACAAAAACAACACCAUGGCAAUUCUGCUGAAAACGGCGCCAGUCCGAGUUAGUUCCAUUCAAAUCAUGCAAUUAGAGUCCAAAACAAGGGCCAAAGAGUUUGGAAAAGUAGAUACGAUGGAGACGUAUCAACUCCCCCAAGCUUAAAACCUUGCUUGUCCUCAAGCAACUCAGUUGACAAACUGAAAGAGAAAGAAAAACUUUGACAAACUCCGUUUGAUCUUGUUGUUGCAACUAUGUCUAAUUCAUAACCAGAAUUUCAGCAAGAUCACAAGUUAACUACAUGAGCAAGUGACACAAAGGCCUCACGGUAAACUAAUAUCAAUGGCCUAAUCAGCUAGCGAGCAAAUAAUAAUGAGUUUUAGAUACCAAAAAUUCAAUCAAAACAAGCAUGAAGCAAUAUGAAUAGGUGGUAUCUCGCUAGCUCUUUCUGAGACCACAAAACAUAAAUGCAGAGCACUUUCAAAGAUCAAGGGCUAACUAAACAUUGUAAUUCAUAACAACGAAGAUCCAGUCAUAGUCAAACUCAAUAUCAAUCAAACGCAAAGCAUAAAAAUGACACAGGUGCUCUCUAAUUGGUGCUUAUAUAGGAGGAGGAUGACUCAACAGGAAAAUAAGUAGACAGGCCCUUCGCAGAGCAUUGAUUUGCAGAGGUGCCAGAGCUCAAGCUUUGAAAACAGAGAUAAUAAUUUUGGGUGGCAUGCUUUCAUUGUCAACGCAAUGACCAAGAGUUCUCAAUAUCUUCCACGCUACUCAUGCUAUAGGCGGUUCCCAAACAGAAAAGUAAAGUUUUAACUCCCCCACCACCAAUCAAUCACACUCCACGGCGAGCCGAAUCCUCGGGUACCGUCCAUACUAACAUCAAUCCGGGGGGAGUCUUGUUUUACAGUUCUGUAUUCGAUUUAAGCGUGGAACUGGGCAUUCCAAUUACCGGCCCCUUUCUCGUGAAUGACAGUGAAUAAACACAUGUCGAGGAUAACACACCUAACAUGGAAGAUAUCAAUAGCCCCCUGUCACCACAUGAGCGGUUCGGGCAUGCAAAACAGAUUAUUUCUUGAAGGUUUAGAGAAUGGCACAUGCAAAUUUACUUGGAACGGCACAUAAAUACCGCAAAUAGGUAGGUAUGGUGGACUCAUAAGGCACAACUUUUGGGUUUAUGGAGUUGGAUGCACAAGCAGUAUUCCGCUUAGUACAAGUGAAGGCUAGCAAAAGACUGGGAAGCGACCAACUAGAGAGCGACAACAGUCAUCAAGGUGCAAUGAGUUUGACUAACAUUGAGUGCAAGCAUGAACAGGAUAUAAAUCACCAUGAACACGAACAUCAUAGAGGCUAUGUUGAUUUUGUUUCAACUACAUGCAUGAACAUGCGCCAAGUCAAGCCACUUGAAUCAUUCAAAGGAGAAUACCAUCCUAUCAUACUACAUCAUAGUCAUCCCAAAAUCUAUGUUGGCAUUCAAGACAAACCGUUAUAAGCUCCUAGCUAAAUAAGCAUGGCAUCAAAAACUAUGAUCUCUAAGUUGUCAUUGCAAACAUGGUUCUCUCACAACAAAGCUGAAUCUAGAACGACAAGCUAGUCAUAUUUACAAAAACAAAUUAGAUAGAGUUCAUACCAGCUUUUCCAUUCUCAGUCACUUCAUCAUAUAUCAUCAUUAUUGCCUUUCACUUGCACGAUCGAACGGUGUGAACAAUAAUAAGAGUGCUCGUGCAUUGGACUAAGCUAAAAUCUGCAAGCAAACACAAAGGAGAAGACAAAGUAAUAUGGCUCUUUGAAAGCUAAACAGGUAUGCAUACAAGAGCUACUAAACAUUGUAACCAAUAUCUUCUACCUUGACCCAAAGAAAAAGAAAACUUUUUACACGGGAAAGCUCCCAACAAGCAAAAACAAGAAAGGAAAAUCUUUUUGGGUUUUCUAAAAAGGACACAAAACAAGAAAACAAGAAAACAAAAAUAAACUAGCAUGGAUAAUACAGUGGAAAAGUGUAAACACCGGCUAACAAGGUGAAAGCAUAAGCAUGAAUGUAAGGUCGGUGAGAACACGUACUCCCCCAAGCUUAGGCUUUUGGCCUAGCUUGGUCUACUCCCAAGGACGGUCCUGGCGAAACCCAAAAUCAUAAUCGGGGUUAUACGGGAGCGAUGCAGCCACUGUCUGAAUAGCUGCCUCACGAAGACGAGCAGCCGUCGCCUCCCUCUCAUACUCCAUUGCCUCUCCUAUGAUUAUGUGGUAUCUCCGUUUUACCUGAAAGUCAAAGAAAGCAAGAGCGGGAAGGGUAAUAUGGAAAACACGCUGCCGGUUAAAUAUCAAUCGGUAUAGGAGGAUUUCAUCAUCCCUCUCAAGGAACCGGUAGCGUGUCAUAGCGACGUGGUCAAGGAAAGUUGUAUGGAGCGGGGGAUCUCCUAAGCGGAUGGGUACUCCAAGAAAAUUUGCUAUGCGAGUGGCAUAGAUGCCACCAAAAAAAUCCCCAUCAAUAGCUUUCUUAUUCAGCCUCCUUGCUAUAAUAGCUCCUAUGUUGAAGCUUUUGUCACCCGUCACUGCGCUCUUAAGGAUACUAAGGUUGGAUGCGCAUAGGUGACAAUGUUCAACCUUGCCGUUAAUGCAUCUACCUAUGAAGAGGGCAAAGUAGUGCAAGGCAGGGAAAUGAAUGCUUCCUAUGGUAGCUUGCGUGAUGUCUCUAGUUUCUCCAACAGUUAUACUCGAGACAAAAUCUCUAACCGAAGACUUAGCAGGAUCUUUAAGAUUACCCCCAUCGGGUAUUUUGCAAAUCCUAUUGAAAUCCUCCAAAUCCAUGGCGUAGGAUUUAUCAUACAGAUCAAACAGUAUGGAUGAGUCACGGCCAACUGAAAAUUUAAAUCUACGCACGAAAGAGGCAGUGAGCAAAGCAUACUGUUCACAUUCAUCUGAGAGGAAUUCUUCUAACCCGGCAUUGCGGACAAGUGUAUCAAACUCAUCAUUGAAGCCUGCUUCGAUCAUAAACUCAUCGGAAGGCCAAUCACAUGGUUGCACCAGUGCGUCCCUUAGUUGAUAAGGAUCGGGCUCCCGAAUAGAAAGACGGGGACCCUUCUUACUUGAGGAACCACCAUGAAACUUCCUCCUGAACAUAAUUUCUUUGCUGAAAUUUUUGAAGUUCAAGAGAAAAGUGAAUAAAGACCAACCACACCUUGUAGAAACUACUCCUACUAGUGCUUAGAGAUCGUAUCACGCGCUAAAACUACUUGGGACCAGCUAAAAUCAACAUUUCAAGCUCAAGAACAGGGUCACCAAGGUAGCAAGAAUACGCGAAGGAUAAAGCACUAGAGCAAAAACUAAUUGGACCAAUGGAGGAGUCACUUACCAAGGAGUAAUUUCCCCAAAACGAUUCGGAGAAUGGUGCUUUGAGAAAGGAGAUCGAAAAUCACAGCCAAAUGAGCAAGAACACGGGUUUGAGCUGCGAAACGAUUUUUUCUGGAGGUAGAAGAAGAGGAUGGGAGCUGGAAUGAGUGGAGGGGGUCCCUGUGGGCCCCACAAGUUUGCUUGCCACGGCCAGGGGGUGGCCGCAGUGACAGGGCUUGUGGCCCACUGGUGUGGGCCCUAGGCCAGCUCUCAGUCCCAGUAUUUUUCAAAUAUUCCAGAAAAAAUCUUACUAGAUUUUCACGACCAUCAGAGAACUUUUAUUUUCGGGGUAUUUUUCUCCGGGACGCUAAAACAGAAAACGGGAAAAACUAAACUAAAUCUAUCAUUUUCUUCUAAGCAACAGAAAGUGAAGGCUUAAAACAGAGGUAUGUAACUCUUUGAUUCAUCCAUUUCAUGGUCAACGAAAGAAAUCCGUCAAUGGGGUGGAUCAAAUCGUCAUGACAAAAACUUCCUGGAAUCGCAAAAGAGAACGGAGAAUUUUCGAAUAGACACUAAGUCACCUCAAUGGGGAUAUGUAUCUCCCCAACAAGCAAAUCAUACUUCAUCUUGACAUGAGGAAUAGGGCAUUCAAAGCUCCCAGUAAGAAUCGCUGAAGUUUUUCAAUAGCAUUGAUGCAAUGUACUUGAUAUGUUUCUUCAGAAAAUGCACGGUAUGCUCAUUACCAUUGACAUGGAAAGUGACAUUGCCUUUGUUGCAAUCUAUAACAGCCACUGCCGUGUUUAAAAAGGGUCUUCCGAGGAUGACAACCAUGGCAUCGUCCUCGGGAAUAUCCAAGAUAACAAAGUCUGUUAAGAUAGUGGUGUUAGCAACCACAACAGGCACAUCCUCGCAAAUGCCGACAGGGAAAGCACUUGAUUUGUCGGCCAUUUGCAGAGAAAUUUCAGUGGUGUCAACUUAUCUAGUUCAAGUCUAUAAUAGAGAGAGAGAUGCAUAACACUAACUCCGGCUCCAAGGUCACAUAAGGGAGUUCUUACGUAGUUUCCUUUAAUGGAGCAAGGUAUAGUGGGCACUCCGGGAUCACCAAGUUUCUUAGGAGUUCCACCUUUGAAAGUGUAAUUGGAAAGCAUGGUGGAGAUCUCAAGAUCUGGUAUCUUCCGUUUAUUGGUCACGAUAUCUUUCAUGUACUUGGCAUAUGGAGACAUUUUGAGCAUAUCAACUAACCGCAUCUACAGAAAGACGGGUCUUAUCAUUUCAAUAAAGCACUCAAAAUCCUCAUCAUCCUUUUUCUUGGAUGGCUUAGGAGGAAAGGGCAUAGGUCUCUGAACCCAUGGCUCCCUUUCUUUACCAUGCUUCCUAGCAGUGAAGUCAUUCUUAUCGUAUCUCUUAGGUUGUGGGUUAUAAGGAUUAAUCGUAGGUUCAAUCUCCACAUCCUUAUCAUUGCUAGGUUGAGCAUCAUUAUGAACAUCGUUGUCCAUAUUGUCACCAGGUUCAUGUUCAUCACCAGAUUGUGUUUCUGCAUCAGACGCAGAAAUAUCAUUUGGUCCUUCAGGUGUGACAGUAUUUGGUGAACUAACAUGUAGGUUUCUAUCAUCCUUCUCCUUCUUCUUAGGAUGACUGGGUGUAUCAGCAUUAAUUCCUUGAGAAUCUUGAUCAAUUCUCUUAGGAUGGCCUCCAGGAUACAAAGGUUCCUCAGUCAUUUUGCCUCCUCUAGUAAUGACACUGACAGAGUUGUCAUUUAAUUCAUUGAGCAGGUCAUUCUGAGCUUUAAGUACUUGUUCUACCUGAGUAGUAAUCAUAGAGGCAUGUUUACUCACAAGCUUCAGAUCAUUGACAUUUCUGUCUACACAAGCACUUAAAUGACUAAGCAUAUAAGUACUUUGUUCCAAAUGUUUGCUAACAUAAUCAUUGAAACUCUGUUGUUUGGCAACAAAGUUGUCAAAUUCAUCAAAGCAUAGGCUAGCAAGCUUAUUAAAAGGAAUACCACUCUCAUCAAACCUACACAGAGAAUUUACUUCUACUACCUGUAUCGGGUUAUCGGGACCAUGGAUCUCUUUGAUAGGUGGUAGAUUUUUGACAUCUUCAGAUCUAAUGCCUUUCUCUUGCAUAGAAUUCUUGGCUUCUUGCAUAUCUUCGGGACUGAGGAAUAGAAUACCUCUUUUCUUCGGAGCUGGCUUAGUAGGUGGUUCAGGAAUAGUCCAAGCAUUAUCGUUGAUCAAGAUGUUAUUCAGUAGAGUCUCAGCUUGUUCUAUAGUUCAUUCCCUAAAAACACAACCGGCACAACUAUCUAGGUGGUCUUUAGAAGCAUCGGUAAGUCCGUUAUAGAAGAUAUCAAGUAUCUCGUUCUUCUUAAGAGGGUGAUCAGGCAAAGCAUUCUGUAGCUGGAUGAGCCUCCCCCAAGCUUGUGGGAGACUCUCUUCUUUGAGUUGAGCAAAGUUGUAUAUUUCCUGCAAGGCAGCUUGCUUCUUAUGGGCAGGGAAAUAUUUCUCACAGAAGUAAUAGACCAUAUCAUGGGGACUACUCACACAUCCAGGAGCAAGAGAAGUGAACCAGGCUUUAGCGUCACCCUUUAGAGAGAAAGGAAACAGCUUAAGGAUAUAGUAGUAGCGGAUCUUCUCCUCACUAGUGAAAAGGGUGGCUAUAUCAUGUAGUUUGGUAAGAUGGGCUACGACCGUCUCAGACUCAUAACCGUGGAAAGGAUCACAUUCGACUAGAGAGAUAAUCUCAAGAUCGAUAGAGAUUUCAUAAUCCUUAUCAGUGAUAAAGAUAGGUGAAGUGGCAAACUUCGGGUCGUAUUUCAUCCUAGCUUUCAGCGAUUUUUCCUUCCACUUGAGAAGUAAUUUCUCAGCGUCAUAGGCAAUCCUUACACACAAGAAAAUCCUCAGCUAUCUCUCACUCCAUAACGUAACCCUCAGGUAUAUCAGGCAAUUGAUAUCUAGGAGAGCUAGAUCUAGCAGGAGCAAAAGCAGGUUCUAUCUCAAUAGUAUCGGCAGUUUCAGAAGCAUCACGAGCAUUGGCAGUAACUCUAGCAAUAUGAGCAUCAAGGAAUACCCCUAGUGGCACAUCAGGCAAAGUAGUAUCUCUAGCAGUAUCAAGCAUAGCAUCAUCAGGCAAAAUAGCAUCAUCAGGCAUAGCAUCUCUAGCAGUAUCAGGCAUAGCAGCAUCAUAAGCAUCAUCAAGCACAGGCGACAUAUCAAGAUUUCUAGCAGGAGGUGGUGUCGCAAACUUACUCAUAACUGAAGGUGAAUCAAGUGCAGAGCUAGAUGGCAGUUCCUUACCUCCCCUCGUAGUUGAUGGCAAGACUUUGGUUUUUGGAUCUUUCAGAUUCUUCAUAGUGAUCCGCAGAUAUAAAUCCCAAGUGACUCAGAGAAUAUAGCUAUCCUUCCCCGGCAACGGCGCCAGAAAAAGCUGUUGCUAGCAGUCCCCAGCAACAACACUAGAAAAAUGUUGUUGACGUGUCCCUGACUUGAUGCCUCCGCGGCAACAGAGCCAGAACUGCUCCGAGUUGCUCAACAAUUAGCAAUUGUCUUGCAAUGGCCCACCAGCGCGUGGGUUCGCGGCAGUUUUCGAGGGUAGAGUAUUCAGCCCAAAUUUGUUGGUUCGCCAAGCGGGAAGUGAAAGGAUACUCUCAAGUAUUAGCAGCUGAAUGUGUCGGAUUCAACCACACCAGAAAGAUUAGUAUCUGCAAGCAAAGUAUCAGUAGCAAAGUAGUAUGAUAGCAACGGUGCCAGAAAUGAUCUGUUGACGGCAGACUAUUCCUAACUGUUGUAUCAAUGGCGCGAGUAAGUUUCCCGUGGAUGGGAAAUAGUCUUUUCCCGGCAACGGCGAGCGAAAAAGUAUUGUAGCAGGUAGCAGCAGUGUAACGAGUAACAGCAGUGGCAAGAAACAGCAGUAGUGACAGCAGUAGAAAGUAGCAACAGUAGCAAGUAACAGCAGUAGCAAGUAGCAACAGUAGCAAGUAACAGCAGCAGAGCAAAGCAAGUAACAGCAGCAGAGCGAAACAAGUAACAGCAGCAGAGCAAAACAAGUAACAGCAGCAGUGGGACAAACUCGUAGGCAAUGGGUCGGUGAUUCGUUCGGAUGACAUUCAUCAUGCAACAGUUAUAAGACGGAGAGAUAUGUGGCUAGCUCCCGUUCGUCAAUGUGAUGUAGGCAUGCAUUCCAUGUGUAGUCAUGCGUGCUUAGGGAAAAGAACUUGCAUGACAUCUAUUGUCCAUCCCUCCCGUGGCAGCGGGGUCCAAAAGGAUACUACGGGAUAUUAAGGUUCUCCUUUUAAUAAAGAACCGGAACAAUGCAUUAGCACUUGGUGAACACAUGAACUCCUCAAACUAUGGUCAUCACCAGGAGUGGUUCCCGUUAUUGUCACUCCAGGGUUGCCGGGUCAUAACACAUAGUAGGUAACUACAACUUGCAAGAUCAGAUCUAAAACACACAUAUAUUGGUGACAACAUAAUAAUUUCAGAUCUUAAAUCAUGGCACUCGGGCCCUAGUGACAAGCAUUAAGCAUGGCAAAGUAGUAGCAACAUCAAUCUCAGAACAUAGUGGAUACUUGGGAUCAAUCCCCGUCAAAACUAACUCGAUUACAUGAUAGAUCUCAUCCUACUGAUCACCGCCCAGCGAGCCUACGAAUAGAUUACUCACGAACGAUGAAGAGCUUCAUGGAAUUGGAGAGGGAAGAAGGUUGAUGAUGACGAUGGCGACGGUUUCCUUGAUCCGGAGCCCAAAACGGACUCCAGAUCUGCCCUCCAGGGCAAGAACGGGAUGUGGCGGCGCCUCUGGAUCGUGAAACGCGAUGAAAUCUUAUCUUUUGAUUUUUUUUUAUGGACGAAAGUGAAUUUAUAGAGAUGGAGUUGGGGGCGGCAGACCCACAUGGGCCCCACAAGCUUGGUUGCCGCGGCCAGGGGGGCCGCGACAACAGGGCUUGUGGUCCACUGGCCCAUCCCCUCUGGUGGAUCUUUGCGCAGGUAUUUUUCAUAUUUUCCAGAAAUAUUCUCCGUAAAUUUUUAGGAAGUUUCGAGAACUUUCAUUUCUGCACAAAAACAACACCAUGGCAAUUCUGCUGAAAACAGCGUCAGUCCGGGUUAGUUCCAUGCAAAUUAGAGUCCAAAACAAGGGAAAAGGAGUUUGGAAAAGUAGAUACGAUGGAGACGUAUCAGGGGGCAGCUAUUUAUAGCCUCGGAGCAUCCCGACAUUAUUUGACAUAAAUGCCCUUAAAUAAUGUGACCGUUGGUGUGGAUAAGAUCAAUGAGGUGGCGCGUGUCGCGGCAACGGUCGGAACUUUCAACUGUGAAAGUCCUCAUGUCUCUCAUAUUCCUCACUCUGAGGCUUUAGUAGGUUUAGGCUUGGGUUGAGCAUCAUGAGGAAAUUCAUUUUGUAGUAUUACCUCGACCCCUUUAGAAGUACGGUGUUCCUAUGACUCAAGAGUAAAGAAAAUGGAACAGAAAGAAUAAAUCUUCACGCUUCAAAGUCUUCAGACAUUAUUUCUUCAGGAACUACCAAAUUCCUCAUCAUCAAUAUCUUCAUGAGGAAUAUCAAUUUCAUCGCAAUUUCUUCGCGAUCAAAGUCUUCAAGGUAAGACCAAAAUCUUCAGCCGAAGACAUACAUUUUUAGGGGUCGAUAUUCAUCGUAUAGCUCAAACUCCUCAGCGACUUAUAAAGCUUGUGUACACUUAUAAACACAUUAGUCACUUAACCUAUAAGUCUUCAAACCACCAAACUCACUAAGGGCACUAGAUGCACUUACACCAUGAGAUCAUGCAACUCUCGGAAACCAGAGGAAUACCUUGUGUGUAUCAAACGUCGCAACGUAACUGGGUGACUAUAAAGGUGCUCUACAGGUAUCUCCGAAGGUGUCUGUUGGGUUGGCGUGAAUCGGGAUUCGGAUUUGUCACUCUGUAUGACGGAGAGGUAUCUCGGGGCCCACUCGGUAAUACAACAUCACAAUAAGCCUUGCAAGCAAUGUGACUAAGGAGUUAGUCUCGGGAUCUGGUAUUAUGGAACGAGUAAAGAGACUUGCCGGUAACGAGAUUGAACUAGGAAUCUCGGGAAAUGUAAGUGCAUCUAGUGCCCUUAGUGAUUUUGGUGGUUUGAAGACUUAUAGGUUAAGUGACUAAUGUGUAUGUAAGUGUACACAGGCUCUAUAAGUCGCUGAGGAGUUUGAAUUAUACGAUGAAUAUCGACCCCUAAAAAUGUAUGUCUUCGGUUGAAGAAAUUGGUCUAAAGUUGAAGACCUUAAUCGCGAAGAAAUUGCGAUGAAAUUGAUAUUCCUCAUGAAGAUAUUGAAGAUGAGGAAUUCAGUGUGUCCUGAAGAAAAAGUGUCUGAAGACUUUGAAGCGUGAAGAUUUACUAUUCCUGGUUCAUUUUCUUUACUCUUGAGUCAUAGGAACACCGUACUGUUAAAGGGGGUUGAGGUAAUACUACGGAAUGAAUUUCCUCAUGAUGAUCAACCCAAGCCAAAAGCUACCAAAGCCUCAAAGUGAGGAAUAUGAGAGACAUGAGGACUUUCAGAGUUGAAAGUUCCGACCGUUGCCGCGACACGCGCCACCUCACUGAUCUUAUCCACCCAACGGUCACAUUAUUUAAGGGCAUUUGUGUCAAAUCAUGUCGGGAUGCUCCCAGGCUAUAAAUAGCCGCCCCCCACAACCACUAGCCGGUUGGCUGCUCCGAGAGAAACCGACACUUCUCAUUUAGAGCAACCCAAAUUCCUCAGAGUCUUCGAGAGUAAAUCAUCAAGUGAGGAAAUACCCCAAACACCAAACCACAAACCAAAAACCAAGUGAUUGAGCAUCACCGAAGAAUUUGUUCCUGUGUGGAACUGAAUCCUUUUACCUUUGAGGAUUGUGCAUCCUCCAGAUGGUUAGGCGUCAUGGUCUAGAGCAUCCAGCAGUCAAUUGUGGAUCGUUGGGUGACCGAGUUUGUGAGGUUUUGGAAGUCUUCCCUGAAGACUUACCACGAGUGUUGGGCGAGGACUAUGUGUUCUUAGCUCAAGGAGAAUAUGGUGGGGACUGUGUGUCCUUUGGUUUCAAUACCAAGCCGCUCCAAACCAAACGUACAACUCUCACAACAGUUGGAACUAGGUCAUCAACAACUGUCUUCAUCAAGCUACAGGUUCUAUUUCUUCAACUCUUUCAUUUCCUAAGAAUUGUAUGUUGAAGACUUUCAUCUGUGCUAUUUGAAGAAUUUGUCUGAAACUUUCUCUGAAUUUCCUCAACCUCAAAUUCUUCAUUCGAGUUAAUCUUCACGUGCGUUCUGUGUACUGAUACGUCCAUUUUGCAUCAUGUUUUCAUGUUGAUAUUUAUCGCUUCUUGGGCUAUUAUUUCACUUCACGGAACAAUACUUAUGCCUUUUCUCUCUUAUUUUGCAAGGUUUACAUGAAGAGGGAGAAUGCCAGCAGCUGGAAUUCUGGCCUGAAAGUGGAGCAAGUUUGAGAUGCCUAUUAGUCUUUGUAGUUGAUGCUAGUUGGAUUACUUGGUGGAAGAGUUUAUGUUCAGAUCCUUGAUUCUACUCAUUACCUCUCUCGUCAUGAAUAUGAUUAUGCUUUGUGAGUAGUUACUUUUGUUCCUCAGGACAUGGGAUAAGUCAUGCUAAUAGUAGUCAUGCUAAUUUGGUAUUGGUUCGAUAUUUUGAUGUGUUGUAUGUUGUUUUUCCUCUGAUGGUGUUAUGUGAACGUCGACUACAUAAGACUUCACCAUUAUUUGGGCCUAGAGGAAGGCAUUGGGAAGUAGUAAGUAGAUGAUGAGUUGCUAGAGUGACAGAAGCUUAAACCCUAGUUUAUGCGUUACUUCGUAAGGGGCUGAUUUGGAUCCACUAGUUUAAUGCUAUGGUUAGACAUUGUCUUAAUUCUUCUUUCAUAGUUGCGGAUGCUUGCGAGAGGGGUUAAUCAUAAGUGGGAUGCUUGUCCAAGUAAGGGCAGUACCCAAGCGGCGGUCCACCCACAUAUCAAACUAUCAAAGUAACGAACACGAAUCAUAUGAACAUGAUGAAAACUAGCAUGAUAGAAAUUCCCGUGUGUCCUCGGGGGCGUUUUUCCUCCAAUAAGACUUUGUCCAGGCUUGUCCCUUCCUACAAAAGGGAUUGGGACACAUUGCUGCACCAUUGCUACUUUUGUUACUUGUUGCUCGCUACGAAUCAUCUCAUCGCACAAUCACUUGUUACCGAUAAUUUCAGUGCUUGCAGAUAUUUCCUUGUUGAAAACCACUUGUCAGAUCCUUCUGCUCCUCGUUGGGUUCGACACUCUUACUUAUCGAAAGGACUACGAUUGAUCCCCUAUACUUGUGGGUCAUCAAGACUCUUUUCUGGCACCGUUGCCGGGGAGUGAAUCGCCUUUGGUAAGUGGAACUUGGUAAGGAAACAUUCAUAUAGUGUGCUGAAAUUUAUUUUCACUUGUCACUAUGGAUACUAAUCCUUUGAGGGGCUUUUUUGGGGUAUCUUCACCUCGAACGGAAGCACAAAUAGUUGCUCCUCAACCUGCUGCACCUACUGAAAAUAUUUUCUUUGAAUUUCCUUUGUGUAUGCUUGAGAAACUGUUGGCUAAUCCUUUUACACGAGAUGGAACAUCACAUCCAGACUUGCAUCUAAUCUAUGUAGAUGAAGUUUGUGGUUUAUUUAAGCUUGCAGGUUUGCCCGAGGAUGAGGUCAAGAAGAAGUUCUUUCCUUUAUCUUUGAAGGAUAAGGCGUUGACAUGGUAUAGGCUAUGUGAUGAUACUGGAUCAUGGGACUACAAUCGGUUGAAAUUGGAAUUUCAUCAAAAGUUUAUCCUAUGCAUUUAGUUCAUCGUGAUUGGAAUUAUAUUUAUAAUUUUUGGCCUCGUGAUAGAGAAAGCAUCGCUCAAGCUUGUGGGAGGCUUAAAUUAAUGUUAUAUUCAUGCCCCAACCAUGAGCUCUCGAGAGAAAUUAUCAUUCAGAACUUCUAUGCUCGGCUUUCUCAUGAUGAUCGCACCAUGCUUGACACUUCUUGUGCCGGUUCUUUUAUGAAGAGAGAUAUUGACUUUAGAUGGAAUUUAUUGGAGAGGAUUAAACGCAACUCUGAAGACUGGGAGCUUGAAGAAGGUAAGGAGUCAGGUAUGAAUUUCAAGUUUGAUUGCGUUAAAUCCUUUGUUGAAACAAAUACCUUUGGUGAUUUUAGCGCUAAGUAUGGACUUGACUCUGAGAUAGUAGCUUCAUUGUGUGAAUCUUUUGUUGCUCAUAUUGAUCUCCCCAAAGAGAAGUGGUUUAAAUAUCAUCCUCCUUUAGAAGCCAAUGUAGUUAAACCCAAUCCAGUUGAACAGAAACUCAUUGCCUCUAAUGAUCCUAUUGUUCCCAGUGCUUACAUUGAGAAACCACCUUUCCCUGUUAGGAUAAAGGAUCAUUCUAAAGCUUCAACUGUGAUACGUAGAGGCUACAUUAGAACACUUACACCCCCUGAGCAAAUUAGAGUUGAACCCAGCAUUGCUAUUAUCAAAGAUCUUUUGUCCGACGAUGUUGAGGGACAUAAUAUUCACUUCUAUGAAGAUGCUGCUAGAAUUGCUAAACCUCACGCUAGAGACAAACAUAGGCCUGUUGUUGGAAUGCCUGUUGUUUCAGUUAAGAUAGGAGAUCAUUGUUAUCAUGGCUUAUGUGACAUGGGUGCUAGUGUUAGUGCAAUACCUCAAUCCUUAUAUGAUGAAAUAAAAGAUGAGAUUGCACCUGUUGAGAUAGAGCCUAUUGAUGUCACUAUUCAGCUUGCCAAUAGAGAUACUAUCUGCCAUGUGGGAAUUGUUAGGGAUGUUGAAGUCUUAUGUGGUAAAACGAAGUAUCCUGCUGAUUCCCUCGUUCUUGGUACGCACAAGAUAGCUUCUGUCCCAUCAUAUUUGGUAGACCUUUUCUCAAUAUAAUUUUUGAUGGUUUCAUGUUAUUAUCUUGUCAAACUUGGGAUGUCUUGCAUGCCUUUUAUUUAUUUUCAGGGACUAACUUAUUAACUUAGUGCCAAGUGCCAGCUCCUGAUUUUUCCAUGUUUUUGACCCCUUUCAGAGGAAAUUUUGAAACAGAAUCCAAACGGAAGAAAAUCCGCGAAAAGAUUUUUUCUGGAACGGAAGAAGAUCGGAGAGCUUGGGGGCCAAGCCAGAAGAGCCCCAGGGCCCCACAAGCCCCAACCCUGCAGCCAGGGGGCCGCGCCAUGCAGGCUUGUGGGCCCCCUGGAGGUCCCCUGACCUAGAUCUUGCGCCUAUAAAAUCCCAAAUAUUCCCAAAAAAUCAGGGGAGCAUCGUAAUCACUUUUCCACCGUCGCAAGCUUCUGUCUCCGCAAGAUCCCAUCUGGGGCACGUCCUGGUGCCCUGUCGGAGGGGGGAUUCGGACACGGAAGGCUUCUCCAUCAACACCAUGACCUCUCUGGUGAUGCGUGAGUAGUUCACCAUAGACCUACGGGUCCAUAGCUAGUAACUAGAUGGAUUCUUCUCUCUCUUGGAUCUUCAAUACAAAGUUCUCCAUCAUCUUCAUGGAGAUCUAUCCGAUGUAAUCUUGUUUUGCGGUGUGUUUGUCGAGAUCCGAUGAAUUGUGGAUUUAUGAUCAGAUUAUCUAUGAAUCUUAUUUGAGUUUCUUCUGAUCUCUCUUAUGCAUGAUUUCAUAUCCUUGUAAUUCUCUUCGAGUUGUGGGUUUUGUUUGGCCAACUAGAUCUAUGAUUCUUGCAAUGGGAGAUGUGCUUGGUUUUGGGUUCAUACCGUGCGGUGACCUCACCCAGUGACAGAAGGGGUAGCGAGGCACGUAUCGUGCUGUUGCCAUCAAGGGUAAAAAGAUGGGGUUUUCAUCAUUGGUUUGAGAUUAUCCCUCUACAUCAUGUCAUCUUGCUUAAAGCGUUACUCUGUUUGUCAUGAACUCAAUACACUAGAUGCAUGCUGGAUAGCGGUCGAUGUGUGGAGUAAUAGUAGUAGAUGCAGAAAGUAUCGGUCUACUUGUCCCGGACGUGAUGCCUAUAUGCUAGAUCAUUGCCUUAGAUAUCGUCAUGACUUUGCGCGGUUCUAUCAAUUGCUCGACAGUAAUUUGUUCACCCACCGUAAUAUUUGCUAUUUUGAGAGAAGCCUCUAGUGAACACUAUGGCCCCGAGGGUCAACUCCACACCAUAUUUUCAGCCUUACACUUUUCACUUCGUUGCACUUUCCGCCUUCAGAUCUCACUUUUGCAAACAAUCUUGAAGGGAUUGACAACCCCUUUGAAGCGUUGGGUGCAAGCUUGUUUGUUUUUGCGCAGGUACUUUGGACUUGACGAGGCCCUCCUUUUGGUUCGAUACCUUGGUUCUCAAACUGAGGGAAAUACUUACUGCUCCUGUGCUGCAUCACCCUUUCCUCUUCAAGGGAAAAACCGACGCAAACCAGAGAAGUAUCAAGAAGAGUUCCUACGCUCCAGGGAAGGACUUUUGUUGCCGCAACAGAAGAAUUUCUGGCGCCGUUGCCGGGGAGGAAGAUCAAGUCAGGAACUCAUCCAAGUAAGUGUCGCAAACUCAUGUCUUGCAUUUACUUUGUUUGCUAGUUGCCUCUCGUUUUCCUCUCCCCCACUUCAACAAUUUGCCUUUUUCGUUCGCCUUUUCGUUCGCCCUUUUUCUGGCCCGCUUUUUGUUUGCUCGUGUGCUUGCCUGCUUGCUGAAGUCACCAUGAACGAAAACAUCAAGCUUUGUGACUUCUCGAAUACUAAUAAUAAUGAUUUUAUUAGUACUCCGAUUGCUCCCGCCACUAGUGCGGAAUCAUACGAAAUCAAUGCCGCUUUGCUGAAUCUUGUUAUGAAAGAGCAAUUCUCUGGAAUUCCUAGUGAAGAUGCCACAUCCCAUAUCAAUACCUUCAUUGAGCUUUGCGAUAUGCAAAAGAAAAGAGAUGUGGAUAAUGACGUGAUUAAAUUGAAGCUUUUUCCUUUCUCGUUGCGAGAUCGCGCAAAAACUUGGUUUUCUUCUUUGCCCAAAAAUAGUAUCAAUUCUUGGGAUAAGUGCAAAGAUGCUUAUAUAUCCAAGUAUUUUCCGUCGGCUAAGAUCAUCUCUCUCCGUAAUGAUAUCAUGAAUUUCAAGCAACUUGAUCAUGAACAUGUUGCACAAGCUUGGGAGAGAAUGAAAUUAAUGAUUAGGAAUUGUCCCGCUCAUGGCUUGAGUCUUUGGAUGAUUAUUCAAAUCUUUUACGCUGGCUUGAAUUUCGCUUCUAGAAAUAUCUUGGACUCCGCCUCACGUGGAACGUUCAUGGAAAUCACGUUAGGAGAAGCCACAAAGCUCUUAGACAACAUCAUGACGAACUACUCUCAGUGGCACACUGAAAGGUCACCUACUAGUAAGAAAGUACACGCUAUAGAAGAAAUUAACUCGUUGAAUGCUAAGAUGGAUGAGUUAAUGAAUUUGGUUGCUAGUAGAAGUGCUCCUUUGGAUCCUAAUGAUUUGCCUUUGUCUUCUUUGAUUGAGAGUAGCAACGCUAGCUUGGACGUAAAUUUUGUUGGUAGGAAUAACUUUGGCAACAACAACGCUUUUAGGGGAAACUAUGUUCCUAGGCCUUUUCCUAGUAACUCCUCUAAUAACUUUGGCAACUCCAACAACAAUACCCAUGGAAAUUACAAUAGAUUACCCUCUAAUCUAGAGAGUAAUAUCAAAGAGUUCAUCAACUCUCAAAAGAUUUUCAAUGCGUCCAUAGAGGAAAAACUACUCAAAAUUGACGAUUUGGCUAAGAGCGUUGAUAGGAUUUCUUGUGAUGUUGAUGCUUUGAAAGUUAGAUGUGCUCCUCCCAAAAUCAACAUGGAUGAAACUUUGAAACCAAUGCGUGUUUCCAUGAUUGAGAGCCAAGAAAGAACCGCCCAAAUUCGUGCUAGACAUGAAUGGCUUAAAAAGGCGUGUUCUCAUGAUGAGAAUCACGAAGAUCUUAAAGUGCUUGGUGUGACUCCCAUUGAAUCUUAAAGUGCCCCAAUGAUUCAGAGUCCAUCUAUCUUGAUGCUAAAAGCGUUAAAAGUGGAGUAGAAGACGUUAAAACUUUGAGUAGUAAUGAAGUUACUACCAUGGAUUUCAAGGAAUUCAAUUAUGAUAGUUCCUCCUUGAUUGAAUGCAUUUCUUUGAUGCAAUCCAUGUUAAACUCUCCGCACGCUUAUAGCCAAAACAAAGCCUUUACCGAUCAUAUCGUCGAAGCUAUGACAAAAGCUCUUGAAGAGAAACUUGAAUUGGAAGUCUCUAUCCCUAGAAAGCUUCAUGAUGAGUGGGAACCUACCAUCAAAAUCAAAAACUAUGAGUGCAAUGCUUUGUGUGAUUUGGGUGCUAGUGUUUCUGCGAUUCCAAGGUCUUUAUGUGAUAUUCUGGGUUUUAAUGAGAUUGAAGAGUGUUCUCUUAAUUUGCAUCUUGUUGAUUAUACUAUCAAGAAACCCAUGGGAAGGAUCAAUGAUGUUCUUAUUAUUUCAAAUAGGAACUAUGUACCCGUGGAUUUCAUUGUGCUUGACAUUGAUUGCAAUCCUACAUGCCCUAUUAUUCUUGGUAGACCUUUCCUAAGGACUAUCGGUGCUAUCAUCGAUAUGAAGGAAGGGGAUAUUAGAUUUCAAUUUCCUUUAAGGAAGGGCAUGGAACACUUUCCUAGAAAUAAAAUAAGAUUGCCUUACGAAUCCAUGAUGAGGGCUACUUAUGGUUUGAGCACCAAAGACAACGAUACGUGAUUCUAUCGCUACUAUGCCUAGCUAAGGGCGUUAAGCAAUAGCGCUUGUUGGGAGGCAACCCAAUGAAUUUAUCCUUUUUCUUUCUGUUUUGUUGCAUCCACACUUUCAUAAUUCUGUUGUUAUUAUGUUUUUUGUGUUUCUUUUUGUGUUUGAGCCAAGCAAAACCUUUAUGAUUGGUCUUGGUAAUGGUUGUUUGAUCUUGCUCGAAAAAGACAGAAACUUUUCGCUCCCGAGAUGAUUUUUCAUUUUUAUUCAGAAAGAGAUUUUGAGUUGAUUCUUUUUGCUGCUGAUUGAUAUGAUUUUUCCCUAUACCUUUAUAAUGUUUCAGAUUUUUUGAGGUACCAAAAGUAUACGAAGUAUACAGAUUGCUACAGACUGGUCUGUUUUUGACAGAUUCUGUUUUUUUGAGUUGGUUGCUUGUUUUGAUGACACUAUGGUUAGUAUCGGGAGGUACUAGCCAUGGAAAAGUGAGAAUACAGUAGCUCGUCAUCAAUAUAGAUGGAAUUCAAGUUUUCUACAGUAACAAAAGAAGUGGUAGUUUCUUUUCUUGUACUAAUGUUAUCACAAGUUUCUGUUUAAGUUUUGUGUUGUGAAGUUUUCAAGUUUUGGGUGACGUUCUCAUGGACAAAGAGAUAAGGAGUGGAAAGAGCUCAAGCUUGGGGAUGCCCAAGCAACCCCAAGCCAAAUUCAAGGACUCCAAAAAGCCUAAGCUUGGGGAUGCCCCGGGAAGGCAUCCCCUCUUUUGUCUUCAAUCCAUCAUUAACAUUAAUUGGGGCUAUAUUUUUAUUCACCACAUGAUAUGUGUUUUGCUUGGAGCGUCUUGUAUCAUAGGAGUCUUUUCUUUUUGUUGUGUCACAAUCAUCCUUGCUGCACACCUUUUUGAGAGAGAGACACAUGCACUCAUCGUGAUUUUGCUAGAAUGCUCAUUGUGAUUCACUUAUAUCUUUUGAGCUAGAUACUUUUGCUCUAGUGCUUCACUUAUAUCUUUUGAGCUAGAUACUUUUGCUCUAGUGCUUCACUUAUACCUUUUGAGCUACAUACUUUUGCUCUUGUGCUUCACUUAUAUCUUUAGAGAACGGAGGUGCGUGAUUUGGUAGUUGGCUUAUGCUAUGAAAGAAGUCCCAUGAGCUAGGUACCCAAAGAAGAUGCAAAAACCUCCAUCUUCAUGUGCAUUGAGUAGAAAGAGAAGUUUCGAUUCCUCUCAUUUAGUUUUGAGACACGGAUUCGGUAAUAUUAAAAGCUAUGUUAGUAGGGUGUUGUGAAUCUAGAAAUACUUGUGUUGAAGUUAGUGAUUCCCGUAGCAUGCACGUAUGAUGAACCGCUAUGUUAGGAAGUCGGAGCAUAAUUGAUCUAUUGAUUGUCAUCCUUUGUGUUGAGGUCGGGAUCGCGCGAUGGUUUACACCUACCAACCCUUCCCCUCGGAGUAUGCGUUUAGCACUUUGUUUUGAUUGCUAAUAAAAACUUUUGCAACAAGUAUGUGAGUUCUUUAUGAUUAAUGUUGUGUCCAUGGUAUAGAUGCACUUUCACCUUCCACCAUUGCUAGCCUCUCUAGCGCCGCACAAUUCUCGCCGGUGCACAAACCCACCAAAUUCCUUCCUCAAAACAGCCACCAUACCUACCUACUAUGGCAUUUUCAUAGCCAUUCCGAGAUAUAUUGCCAUGCAACUACCACUGUUCCGUCUCAUGACUUGUGCCGUCACUUUCAUAUUGCCAUUGCAUGAUCAUACUAGAUCAUUGCACAUCCCGGUACACUGCCGGAGGCAUUUCCUAUGAAGUCAUCAUCAUUGUGAUUUUUGAGCUUUGAGUAAAUAAAAGUGUGAUGAUCAUCAUUAUUAGAGCAUUGUCCCGUGUGAGGAAAUAAAAAAAAGAAGAGGCCAAAGAGCCCAAAAACAAAAAAAAGAGAAAAGAAAAAAAGAGGCCUAAGAGCCCAAAAAAAGAGAAAUGAGAGAAAAAGAGAGAAGGGACAAUGCUACUAUCUUUUUCCACACUUGUGCUUCACGAUAGCACCAUGUUCUUCAUGAUUGAGAGCUUCUUGCUUUGCCACUACCAUAUGCUAGUGGGAAUUUCCGUUUUAUAACUCGGCUUGUAUAUUCCAAUGAUGGGCUUCCUCAAAAAUUGCCCUAGGUAUUCGUGAGCAAGCAAGUUGGAUGCACACCCACUAGUUUUCCCUUGAGCUUUCACAUACUUAUAGCUCUAGUGCAUCUCUUGUAUGGCAAUCCCUACUCAUUCACGUUGAUAUCUAUUAAUGGGCAUCUCCAUAGCCUAUUGAUACGCCGAGUCAAUGUGACCAUCUCCUCCUUUUUGUCUCACAACCACCACCACACUCUAUUCCACCUAUAGUGUUAUAUCCAUGGCUCGCGCUCAUGUAUUGCGUGAUAGUUAUAAAAAAUUUGAGAAAGUAAGAGUGCGAAAACAAUUACUUGGCCAAUUCCGGGGUUGUGCAUGAUUUACAUUAGUUGUGUGAGGAUGAUGGAGCACAGACAGACUAUAUGAUUUUGUAGGGAUAACUUUCUGUGGCCUUGUUAUUUUGAAAGUUCAUGAUUACUUUGCUAGUUUGCUUAAAGUAUUACUGUUUUCAUGUCAAUAGCAGACUAUUGUUUCCAAUCGUACGGGUCUGAAUAUUCAUGCCGCGUGAAAGAAGUUGCAAAGGACAACUAUUCUAGGUAGCAUUCCACAUCAAAAAUUCAUUCUUUAUCACUUCCCUACUCGAGGACGAGCAGGAGUUAAGCUUGGGGAUGCUUGAUACGUCUCCAACGUAUCUAUAAUUUUUGGUGGUUUCAUGCUAUUAUCUUGUCAAACUUGGGAUGUUUUGCAUGCCUUUUAUUUAUUUUCUGGGACUAACUUAUUAACUCAGUGCCAAGUGCCAGUUCCUGUUUUUUCCAUGUUUUUGACCCCUUUUAGAGGAGAUUUUGAAACGGAGUCCAAACGGAAGAAAAUCCCCGAAAAGAUUUUUUCUGGAACGGAAGAAGAUCGGAGAGCUUGGGGGCCAAGCCAGAAGAGCCCCAGGGGCCCCACAAGCCCCCAUCCCGCGGCUAGGGGGGCGCGCCAUGAAAGCUUGUGGGCCCCCUAGAGGUCCCCUGACCUAGAUCUUGCGCCUAUAAAUUCCCGAAUAUUCCUAAAAAAAUCAGGGGAGCAUCGUAAUCACUUUUCCGCCGCCGCAAGCUUCUGUCUCCGCAAGAUCCCUUCUGGGGCACAUCCUUGUGCCCUGCCGGAAGGGGGAUUCGGACACGGAAGGCUUCUCCAUCAACACCAUGACCUCUCCGAUGAUGCGUGAGUAGUUCACCAUAGACCUACGGGUCCAUAGCUAGUAACUAGAUGGCUUCUUCUCUCUCUUGGAUCUUCAAUACAAAGUUCUCCAUGAUCUUGAUGGAGAUCUAUCCGAUGUAAUCUUCUUUUGCGGUGUGUUUGUCGAGAUCCGAUGAAUUGUGGAUUUAUGAUCAGAUUAUCUAUGAAUCUUAUUUGAGUUUCUUCUGAUCUCUCUUAUGCAUGAUUUCAUAUCCUUGUAAUUCUCUUCGAGUUGUGGGUUUUGUUUGGCCAACUAGAUCUAUGAUUCUUGCAAUGGGAGAAGUGCUUGGUUUUUGGUUCAUACUAUGCGGUGACCUCACCCAGUGACAGAAGGGGUAGCGAGGCACGUAUCGUGUUAUUGCCAUCAAGGGUAAAAAGAUGGGGUUUUCAUCAUUGGUUUGAGAUUAUCCCUCUACAUCAUGUCAUCUUGCUUAAAGCGUUACUCUGUUCGUCAUGAACUCAAUACACUAGAUGCAUGCUGGAUAGCGGUCGAUGUGUGGAGUAAUAGUAGUAGAUGCAGAAAGUAUCGGUCUACUUGUCUCGAACAUGAUGCCUAUAUGCUAGAUCAUUGCCUUAGAUAUCGUCAUGACUUUGCACGGUUCUAUCAAUUGCUCGAUAGUAAUUUGUUCACCCACCGUAAUAUUUGCUAUUUUGAGAGAAGCCUCUAGUGAACACUAUGGCCCCCAGGGUCUACUCCACACCAUAUUUUCAGCCUUACACUUUUCACUUUGUUGCACUUCCCGCCUUCAGAUCUCACUUUUGCAAACAAUCUUGAAGGGAUUGACAACCCCUUUGAAGCGUUGGGUGCAAGCUUGUUUGUUUUUGUGUAGGUACUUUGGACUUGACGAGGCCCUCCUUUUGGUUCGAUACCUUGGUUCUUAAACUGAGGGAAAUACUUACUGCUCCUGUGUUGCAUCACCCUUUCCUCUUCAAGGGAAAAAACGACUCAAACAAGAGAAGGAACAAGAAGAAUUCCUACGCGCCAGGGAAGGACUUUUGUGUUGGGGAACGUCGCAUGGGAAACAAAAAAAUUCCUACGCGCACGAAGACCUAUCAUGGUGAUGUCCAUCUACAAGAGGGGAUUUCCGAUCUACGUACCCUUGUAGAUCGGACAGCAGAAGCGUUAAGAAACACGGUUGAUGUAGUGGAACGUCCUCACGUCCCUCGAUCCGCCCUGCGAACCGUCCCGCGAUCCGUCCCACGAUCCGCUCUGAUCUAGUGCCGAACGGACGGCACCUUCGCGUUCAGCACACGUACAGCUCGACGAUGAUCUCGGCCUUCUUGAUCCAGCAAGAGAGACGGAGAGGUAGAUGAGUUCUCCGGCAGCGUGACGGCGCUCCGGAGGUUGGUGGUGAUCUAAUCUCAGCAGGGCUCCGCCCGAGCUCCGCGGAAACGCGAUCUAGAGGUAAAACCGUGGAGGUAUGUGGUCGGGCUGCCGUGGCAAAAGUUGUCUCAAAUCAGCCCUAAAACCCCACUAUAUAUAGGAGGGGGGGAGGGGAGGAGGCAGCCUCAAAACCUAAAGGUUUGGCCGAAAUUGGAGGUGGAGGAGUCCUACUCCAAUCCUGCUUGGAGUAGGAUUCCACCUUCCCACUUGGAAACUCUUUCCACCUUGUGUUUUUUCCUUCUCAAACCUUAUGGGCCUUAGUGGGAACUUAUUCUAGCCCACUAGGGGCUGGUUUAUCUCUUCCCACAGCCCAUGAGACCCCUUGGGGCGUGACACCCCUCCUGAUGGUCCCCGGCACCCCUCCCGGCACUCCCAGUACACUACCGAUCAGCCCGAAACUUUUCCGGUAAUGCACGAAAACCUUCCGAUAACCAAAUGAGGUCAUCCUAUAUAUCAAUCUUUGCUUCUAGACCAUUCCGGAAACUCUCGUGACGUCUGUGAUCUCAUCCGGGACUCCGAACAACAUUCGGUAACCAACCAUAUAACUCAAAUACGCAUCAAACAACGUCGAACCUUAAGUGUGCAGACCCUGCGGGUUCGAGAACUAUGUAGACAUGACCCGAGAGACUCCUCGGUCAAUAUCCAAUAGCGGGACCAGGAUUCCCAUAUUGGAUCCUACAUAUUCUACGAAGAUCUUAUCCUUUGCACCUUAGUGCCAAGGAUUCAUAUAAUCCCGUAUGUCAUUCCCUUUGUCCUUCGGUAUGUUACUUGCCUGAGAUUCGAUCAUCAGUAUCCGCAUACCUAUUUCAAUCUCGUUUACCGGCAAGUCUCUUUACUCGUUCCGUAAUACAAGAUCCCGCAACUUACACUAAGUCACAUUGCUUGCAAGGCUUGUGUGUGAUGUUGUAUUACCGAGUGGGCCCCGAGAUACCUCUCCGUCAUACGGAGUGACAAAUCCCAGUCUUGAUCCAUACUAACUCAACGAACACCUUCAGAGAUACCUGUAGAGCAUCUUUAUAGUCACCCAGUUACGUUGCGACGUUUGAUACACACAAAGCAUUCCUCCGGUGUCAGUGAGUUAUAUGAUCUCAUGGUCAUAGGAACAAAUACUUGACACGCAGAAAAGAGUAGCAACAAAAUGACACGAUCAACAUGCUACGUCUAUUAGUUUGGGUCUAGUCCAUCACAUGAUUAUCCUAAUGAUGUGAUCCCGUUAUCAAGUAACAACACUUGCCUAUGGCCAGGAAACCUUGACCAUCUUUGAUCAACGAUCUAGUCAACUAGAGGCUUACUAGGGACACUGUUUUGUCUAUGUAUCCACACAAGUAUUGUGUUUCCAAUCAAUACAAUUAUAGCAUGGAUAACAAACGAUUAUCGUGAACAAAGAAAUAUAAUAAUAACUAAUUAUUAUUGCCUCUAGGGCAUAUUUCAAACAGUCUCCCACUUGCACUAGAGUCAAUAAUCUAGUUCACAUCACCAUGUGAUUUCAACGAAUCCAACACCCAUAUAGUUCUGGGGUCUGAUCACGUCUUGCUCGUGAGAGAGGUUUUAGUCAACGGUUCUGAAACUUUCAGAUCUGUGCGUUCUUUACAAAUCUUUAUCUCAUCUUAUAGAUGCUGCUACUACGUGCUAUUCGAAAAUGCUCCAAAUAUCUGCUCUACUAUACGAAUCCGUUUCACUACUCAUAGUUAUUUGGAUUAGUGUCAAAGCUUGCAUAGACGUAACCCUUUACGACGAACUCUUUAACCACCUCCAUAAUCGAGAAAAAAAUCCUUAGUCUAUUUAGUUACUAAGGAUAACUUUGACCGCUGAUCAGUGAUUCAAUCCUGGAUCACUCUGUGUACCUCUUAAUAGACUUGCUGCAAGGAACACAUCAGGUGCGGUACUCAGCAUGGCAUACUUUAGAGUCUACGGCUAAGGCAUAGAAGACGACCUUCGUCUAUUCUCUUUAUUCUGCCGUGGUCGGGUUUUGAGUCUUACUCAAAUUCACACCUUACAACACAGUCAAGAACUCCUUCUUUGCUGAUCUAUUUCGAAUUCCUUCAAAAACUUGUCAAGGCAUGCAUCUUGUUGAAACUUCUAUUAAGCGUUUUGAUCUAUCUCCAUAGAUCUUGAUGCUCAACGUUCAAGUAGCUCAAUCCAGGUAUUCCUUUGAAAAACUUCUUUCAAACAACCUUUUAUGCUUCAUAGAAAUUCUACAUUACUUCUGAUCAACAAUAUGUCAACCACAUAUACUUAUCAGAAAUUCUAUAGUGCUCCCACUCACUUCUUUGGAAAUACAAGUUUCUCAUAAACCUUGUACAAACCCAAAAUCUUUGAUCAUCUCAUCAAAGUGUAAAUUCCAACUUCGAGAUGCUUGCACCAGUCCAAUGAAGGAUCGCUGGAGCUUGCAUACUUGUUAGUAUCUUUAGGAUCGACAAAACCUCGUGGUUGUAUCACAUACAAUGUUUGCUCAAGGAAACCGUCGAGGAAACAAUGUUUUGUCUUCCUAUGUGCAAUAUUUCACAAAUAAUGCAACAACUACUAACAUAAUUCCAACAGACUUUUAGCAUCGCUAUGAGUGAGAAAGUCUCAUCAUAGUCAACUAUUUGAUCUUGUCAGAAACAUCUUUGCGACAAGUCGAGCUUUUCUUAAUAGUGACUUAUCACCAUCAUCGUCUGUCUUCCUUACAAAGAUCCAUCUUUACUCAAUAGUCUUACUACCAUCAAGUAGUUCCUCCAAAGUCUACACUUUGUUUUAUAUAUGGAUCCUCUCUCGGAUUUCAUGGCCUCAAGCCAUUUGUCGGAAUCCGGGCCCACCAUUGCUUCUCCAUAACUCGUAGGUUCACUGUUGCUCAACAACAUGACCCCCAAGACAGGGUUACCGUACCACUCUGCAGUAGUACGCGACCUUGUCAACCUACGAGGUUUGUAGUAACUUGAUCCGAUGCUCGAUGAUCACCAUCAUCAGCUUUCACUUCCAUUGGUGUUGGCGCCACAAGAACAACUUACUGCGCCCUGCUACACACUGGUUGAAGUGAUGGUCCAAUAACCUCAUCAAGUUCUACCACCCUCCCACUCAAUUCUUUCGAGCGAAACCUUUCCUCGAGAAAGGAUCCGUUUCUAGAAACAAACACUUUGCUUUCGGAUCUGAGAUAGGAGAUGUACCCAACUGUUUUGGAUAUCCUAUGAAAAUGCAUUUAUCCGCUUUGGGUUCGAGCUUAUCAGACUGAAACUUUUUCACAUAAGUGUCGAAGCCCCAAACUUUCAAGAAACGACAGCUUAGAUUUCUCUAAACCUCAGUCUAUAUUGUGUCAUCUCAACGGAAAUACGCGGUGCCCUAUUUAAAGUGAAUGCGGUUGUCUCUAAUGCAUAACCCAUAAACGAUAGUGGUAAUUCGAUAAGAGACAUCAUAGUACGCACCAUACCAAAUAGUGCGUGGCUAUGACGUUCAGACACAUCAUCACACUAUAUGUUCCAGGUGCAUGAACUACGAAACAAUUUCCACAUUGUCUUAACUGCGUACCAAAACUCGUAACUCAGAUAUUCAUUUCUAUGAUCACAUCGUAGACAGUUUAUCCUCUUGUUACGACGAACUUCACUCUGAAACAGAAUUGAACUUUUCAAUAUUUCAGACUUGUGAUUCAUUAAGUAAAUACUCUUGUAUCUACUCAGAUCGUCAUUGAAGUAAGAACAUAAUGAUAUCCACUGCGUGCCUCAGCACCCAUUGGGCUGCAUACAUCAAAAUGUAUCACUUCCAACAAGUUACUAUCUUGUUUCAUCUCAAUGAAAACAAGGCCUCGCUCAUGUGGUAUGAUUUGCUUGUCACAAGUGAUUCAAAAUGAGGUGAGUAUAAAGAUCCAUCAGCAUGGAGCCUCUUCAUGCAAUUUAUACCAACAUGACUCAAGCGGUAGUGCCACAAGUAAGUGGUACUAUCAUCAUUACCUUGUUUCUUUUGGCACCAAUAUCAUGAACAUGUGUAACACUACGAUCGAGAUUCAAUAAACCAUUGAAGGUGAUUAUUCAAGCAAAUAGAGUAACCAUUAUUUUCUUUAAACGAAUAAUCGUAUUGCAAUAAACACGAUCCAAUCAUGUUCAUGGUUAACGCAAGCACCCAAUAACAAUUAUUUAGGUUUAACACCAAUCCCGAUGGUAGAGGGAGUGUGCGACGUUUGAUCAUAUCAACCUUGGAAACACUUCCAACACGUAUCGUCACCUCGCCUUUAGCUAGUCUCCGUUUAUGUCAUAGCUUUCAUUUCGUGUUACUAAUCACUUAGCAACCGAACCGGUAUCCAAUACCCUCGUGCUACUAGGAGUACUAGUAAAGUACACAUCAACAUCAUGUAUAUCAAAUAUACUUCUUUCGACUUUUGCCAGCCUUCUUAUCUACCAAGUAUCUAGAGUUGCUCCGCCUCAGUGACCGUUCCCCUCAUAACAGAAGCACUUAGUCCCGGGCUUGGGUUUAAUCUGGGGUCUCUUCAUUAGUGUAGCAACUGCUUUGCUGUUUCACGAAGUAUCCCUUCUAGCCCUUGCCUUUCUCGAAACUUAGUGGUUUUACUAACCAUCAACUAUUGAUGCUCCUUCUUGAUUUCUACUUUCGCGGUGUCAAACAUCGCGAAUCGCUCAAGGAUCAUUGUAUCUAUGCUUGAUAUGUUAUAUUUCAUCACGAAGCUCUCACAGCUUGGUGGCAGUGACUUUGGAGAACCAUCACUAUCUUAUCUGGAAGAUCAACUCCCACUUGAUUCAAGCAAUUGUCGUACUCAGAUAAUCUGAGCAGAUGCUCAAUGAUUGAGCUUUUCUCCUCUACUUCGUGGACAAAGAAUCUUGUCGAAGGUCUCAUACCUCUUAACAAGGGCACAAGCAUGAAAUCAAAAUUUCAUCUCUUUAUAACAUCUCUUAUGUUCCGUGACGUUUCAAAACGUCCUCGGCGCCUUGCUUCUAAGCCAUUAAGUAUUUUGUAUUGAACUAUCGUGUAGUCAUCAGAAACGUGUAUGUCGGAUGUUCACAACAUCUACAGACGACGCUCGAGGUGCAGCACACCGAGUGGUGCAUUAAGGACAUAAGCCUUCUGCGCAGCAACGAGGACAAUCCUCGGUUUUACAGACUCAGUCUGCAAAGUUUGCUACUAUCAACUUUCAACUAAAUUUUCUCUAGGAACAUAUAAAAACAGUAGAGCUAUAGCGCAAGCUACAUCGUAAUUCGCAAAGACCAUUAGAGUAUGUUCAUAACAAUUAGUUCAAUUAAUCAUAUUACUUAAGAACUCCCACUCAAAAAGUACAUCUCUCUAGUCAUUUGAGUGGUACAUGAUCCAAAUCCACUAUCUCAAGUCCGAUCGUCAUGUUAGUCGAGAAUAGUUUCAGUGGUAAGCAUCUCUAUGCUAAUCAUAUCAACUAUACGAUUCAUGCUCGACCUUUCGGUCUCAUGUGUUCCGAGGCCAUGCCUGCACAUGCUAGGCUCGUCAAGCUUAACCCGAGUGUUCCGCGUGUGCAACUGUUUUGCACCCGUUGUAUGUGAACGUUGAGUCUAUCACACCCGAUCAUCACGUGGUGUCUCGAAACGAAGAACUAUCGCAACGGUGCACAGUCGGGGAGAACACAAUUUCGUCUUGAAAUUUUAGUGAGAGAUCACCUCAUAAUGCUACCGUCGUUCUAAGCAAGAUAAGAUGCAUAAAGGAUUAACAUCACAUGCAAUUCAUAAGUGACAUGAUAUGGCCAUCAUCAUGCGCUUCUUGAUCUCCAUCACCAAAGCACCGGCACGAUCUUCUUGUCACCGGCGUCACACCAUGAUCUCCAUCAUCAUGAUCUCCAUCAACGUGUCGCCAUCGGGGUUGUCGUGCUACUCAUGCUAUUACUACUAAAGCUAUGUCCUAGCAAUAUAGUAAACGCAUCUGCAAGCACAAACGUUAGUUUAAAGACAACCCUAUGGCUCCUGCCGGUUGCCGUACCAUCAACGUGCAAGUCGAUAUUAACUAUUACAACAUGAUCAUCUCAUACAUCCAAUAUAUCACAUCACAUCGUUGGCCAUAUCACAUCACAAGCAUACCCUGCAAAAACAAGUUAGACGUCCUCUAAUUGUUGUUGCAUGUUUUACAUGGUGACCAUGGGUAUCUAGUAGGAUCGCAUCUUACUUACGCAAACACCACAACGGAGAUAUAUGAAUUGCUAUUUAACCUCAUCCAAGGACCUCCUGGGUCAAAUCCGAUUCAACUAAAGUUGGAUAAACCGACACUCGCCGGUCAUCUUUGAGCAACGUAGUUACUCGUAGCGAUGAAACCAGUCUCUCGUAAGCGUACGAGUAAUGUCGGUCCGAGCCGCUUCGAUCCAACAAUACCGUGGAAUCAAGAAAAGACUAAGGAGGGCAGCAAAAUGCACAUCACCUCCCACAAAAACUUUUGUGUUCUACUCGAGAAGACAUCUACGCAUGAACCUAGCUCAUGAUGCCACUGUUGCGGAACGUCGCAUGGGAAACAAAAAAAUUCCUACGCGCACGAAGACCUAUCAUGGUGAUGUCCAUCUACGAGAGGGGAUUUCCGAUCUACGUACCCUUGUAGAUCGCACAGCAGAAGCGUUAAGAAACACGGUUGGUGUAGUGGAAUGUCCUCACGUCCCUCGAUCCGCCCCGCGAACCGUCCCACGAACCGUCCCGCGAUCCGUCCCACGAUCCGCUCCGAUCUAGUGUCGAACGGACGGCACCUCCGCGUUCAGCACACAUACAGCUCGACGAUGAUCUCGGCCUUCUUGAUCCGACAAGAGAGACGAAGAGGUAGAUGAGUUCUUCGACAGCGUGACGGCGCUCCGGAGGUUGGUGGUGAUCUAAUCUCAGCAGGGCUCCGCCCGAGCUCCGCAGAAACGCGAUCUAGAGGUAAAACCGUGGAGGUAUGUGGUCGGGCUGCCGUGGCAAAAGUUGUCUCAAAUCAUCCCUAAAACCCCACUAUAUAUAGGAGGGAGGGAGGGGAGGAGGCAGCCUCAAAACCUAAAGGUUUGGCCGAAAUUGGAGGUGGAGGAGUCCUACUCCAAUCCUACUUGGAGUAGGAUUCCACCUUCCCACUUGGAAACACUUUCCACCUUGUGUUUUUCCUUCUCAAACCUUAUGGGCCUUAGUGGGAACUUAUUCCAGUCCACUAGGGGAUGGUUUAUCUCUUCCCAUAGCCCAUGAGACCCCUUGGGGCGUGAUACCCCUCCUGAUGGUCCCCGGCACUCCCAGUACACUACCGAUGAGCCCGAAACUUUUCCGGUAAUGCACGAAAGCCUUCCGGUAACCAAAUGAGGUCAUCAUAUAUAUCCAUCUUUGUUUCCGGACCAUUCCGGAAACCCUCGUGACGUCCGUGAUCUCAUCUGGGACUCCGAACAACAUUCGGUAACCAACCAUAUAACUCAAAUACGCAUAAAACAACGUCGAACCUUAAGUGUGCAGGCCCUGCGGGUUCGAGAACUAUGUAGACAUGACCCGAGAGACUCCUCGGUCAAUAUCCAAUAGCGGGACCUGGAUGCCCAUAUUGGAUCCUACAUAUUCUACGAAGAUCUUAUCCUUUGAACCUCAGUGCCAAGGAUUCAUAUAAUCCCGUAUGUCAUUCCCUUUGUCCUUCGGUAUGUUACUUGCCUGAGAUUCGAUCGUCAGUAUCCGCAUACCUAUUUCAAUCUCGUUUACCGGCAAGUCUCUUUACUCGUUCCGUAAUACAAGAUCCCGCAACUUACACUAAGUCACAUUGCUUGCAAGGCUUGUGUGUGAUGUUGUAUUACCGAGUGGGCCCCGAGAUACCUCUCCGUCAUACGGAGUGACAAAUCCCAGUCUUGAUCCAUACUAACUCAACGAACACCUUCGGAGAUACCUGUAGAGAAUCUUUAUAGUCACCCAGUUACGUUGCGAUGUUUGAUACACACAAAGCAUUCCUCCGGUUUCAGUGAGUUAUAUGAUCUCAUGGUCAUAGGAACAAAUACUUGACACGCAGAAAACAGUAGCAACAAAAUGACAUGAUCAACAUGCUACGUCUAUUAGUUUGGGUCUAGUCCAUCACAUGAUUCUCCUAAUGAUGUGAUCCCGUUAUCAAGUAACAACACUUGCCUAUGGCGAGGAAACCUUGACCAUCUUUGAUCAACGAUCUAGUCAACUAGAGGCUUACUAGGGACAGUGUUUUGUCUAUGUAUCCACACAAGUAUUGUGUUUCCAAUCAAUACAAUUAUAGCAUGGAUAAUAAACGAUUAUCAUGAACAAAGAAAUAUAAUAAUAACUAAUUAUUAUUGCCUCUAGGGCAUACUUCCAACAUUUUGUUGCCGCAACAACUGUCAAUGCUCAUAUUGAUUGUGAGAAGCAAACUGUCACUGUUGGCUUUGAAGGUGUGUCACACGAGUUCAAUUUCUCUAAGUUUGGUAGACAACCUCAUGAAAAGGAGUUGCCUGGUAGGGAUAAAACUAUUGCCUUAGCUUCUAUUGUCGUACCUCCUACUGAUCCCUUAGAGCAAUACUUGCUUGAGCAUGAAAAUGAUAUGCAUAUGGAUGAAAUGGAUGAGAUAGAUAGAGUUGUCUUAGAACAAAAUCCUAUCCUUAAGAAUAACUUGCUUGUUGAACUGCUUGGGGAUCCACCCCCACCAAAGGGUGAUCAUGUGUUCGAGCUUAAACAGUUGCCUGAUACUCUUAAGUAUGCUUAUCUUGAUGAAAAAGAGAUAUAUCCUGUUAUUAUUAGUGCUAGCCUCUCAGAGUAUGAAGAAAAGAAGUUACUAAAAACUCUGAGGAAGCACCGUGCUGCUAUUGGAUAUACUCUUGAUGAUCUUAAGGGCAUUAGUCCUACUCUAUGCCAGCACAAGAUUAAAACUGAUCCCGAUUUCAAACCAGUCGUUGAUCAUCAAAGGAGAUUAAAUCCUAAGAUGAAAGAGUUAGUGAGAAAAGAAACACUAAAGCUUCUGGAAGCGGGUAUUAUCUAUCAUGUUGCUCAUAGUGAUUGGGUGAGUCCGGUGCAUUGCGUCCCUAAGAAGGGAGGCAUUACAGUUGUCCCUAAUGAUAAGGAUGAAUUGAUCCCACAGAGGAUUAUUACUGGCUAUAGGAUGGUGAUCGACUUUAGGAAAUUGAAUAAAGCCACUAGGAAAGAUCAUUACCCUUUGUCUUUUAUCGACCAAAUGCUAGAAAGACUAUCUAAACACACACACUUCUACUUUCUAGACGGUUAUUCUGGUUUCUCCCAAAUACCAGUUGUACAAUCUGACCAGGAGAAAACCACUUUCACCUGCCCUUUCGCUACCUUUGCUUAUAGACGUAUGCCUUUUGGCUUAUGUAAUGCAUUUGCCACCUUUCAAAGAUGUAUGAUGGCUAUAUUCUCUGACUUUGGUGAAAAGAUUGUUGAGGUUUUCAUGGAUGACUUCUCCGUUUACGGGUCUUCCUUUGAUGAUUGCCUCAGCAACCUUGAUCGAGUCUUGCAAAGAUGUAAAGACACCAAACUUGUCUUGAAUUGGGAGAAGUGCCACUUUAUGGUUAAUGAAGGCAUCGUUUUAGGACAUAAAAUUUCUGAAAGAGGUAUUGAAGUCGAUAAGGCUAAGGUUGAUGCAAUCGAGAAAAUGCCAUACCCCACAAAUAUCAAAGGUAUAAGAAGUUUCCUUGGUCAUGCUGGUUUCUAUAGAAGGUUCAUUAAAGACUUCUCUAAGAUUUCUAGGCCUCUUACCAAUCUCUUGCAAAAGGAUAUUCCUUUUGUCUUUGACAAUGAUUGUGAGGAAGCCUUAGAAAUACUUAAGAGGGCUUUGAUACCAGCACCUAUUGUUCAACCACCUGAUUGGAACUUGCCUUUUGAGAUCAUGUGUGAUGCUAGUGAUUAUGCUGUUGGUGGUGUUCUAGGACAAAGAGUUGAUAAGAAGUUGAAUGUUAUUCACUAUGCUAGUAAAACUCUAGAUAGUGCCCAAAGAAACUAUGCCACUACGGAAAAGGAGUUUUUAGCAGUCGUGUUUGCAUGUGAAAAGUUCAGGUCUUACAUAGUUGAUUCCAAAGUCACUAUUCACACUGAUCACGCUCCUAUUAAGUACCUCAUGGAGAAGAAGGACGCUAAACCUAGACUUAUCAGAUGGGUUCUCUUGCUACAAGAAUUUGAUUUGCACGUUGUCGACAGAAAGGGUGCUGAUAACACCGUAGCAGAUAACUUGUCUAGGUUGGAGAACGUUCUUGAUGACCCACAACCUAUUGAUGAUAGCUUUCCCGAUGAGCAAUUGAAUGUCAUCAAUACUUCACGUAGUGCACCGUGGUAUGCCGAUUAUGCAAACUAUAUCGUUGCCAAAUAUAUACAACCUAGUUUCACAUACCAGCAAAAGAAGAAGUUCUUCUUUGACUUGAGGCAUUACUUUUGGGAUGAUCCUCACCUUUAUAAGGAAGGAGUAGAUGGUGUUAUUAGACGUUGUGUACCUAAACAUGAACAGAGACAGAUCCUACAGAAGUGUCACUCCGAGGCCUACGGAGGACACCAUGCAGGAGAUAGAACUGCACAUAAGGUAUUGCAAUCAGGUUUCUGUUGGCCCACUCUCUUCAAGGAUGCCCGUAAGUUUGUCUUGUCUUGUGACGAAUGUCAAAGAAUAGGUAAUAUCGGUAAACGUCAGGAAAUGCCUAUGAACUAUUCACUUGUCAUUGAACCAUUUGAUGUUUGGGGCUUUGAUUAUAUGGGACCUUUUCCAAAAUCCAACGGGUAAACUCACAUCUUAGUUGCUGUUGAUUACGUCACUAAGUGGGUAGAAGCUAUCCCCACUAGUAGUGCUGAUCACAACACUUCUAUCAGGAUGCUUAAAGAAGUUAUUUUCCCUAGAUUUGGAGUCCCUAGAUAUCUAAUGACCAACGGUGGUUCACAUUUCAUUCAUGGUGCUUUCCGUAAAACGCUUGCUAAGUACGAUGUCAACCAUAGAAUUGUGUCUCCCUAUCACCCUCAGUCCAGUGGUCAAGUAGAGCUAAGCAAUAGAGAGAUUAAACUAAUUCUGCAAAAGACUGUCAACAGGUCUAGAAAGAAUUGUCUAAGAAGCUCGAUGAUGCACUGUGGGCUUAUAGAACUUCCUAUAAGAAUCCCAUGGGCAUGUCUUCGUACAAAAUGGUGUACGGUAAAUCAUGUGAUUUACCUCUUGAGCUAGAGCAUAAAGCUUAUUGGGCAAUCAAAGAGCUCAACUUUGAUUUCAAACUUUCCGGUGAGAAGAGGUUAUUUGACAUUAGCACGCUUGAUGAAUGGAGAACUCAGGCAUAUGAGAAUGCCAAGUUGUUCAAAGAGAAGGUUAAGAGGUGGCAUGAUAAGAGGAUACAAAAGCGUGAGUUCAAUGUAGGUGAUUAUGUCUUGCUAUAUAACUCUCGUUUAAGAUUCUUUGCAGGCAAGCUUCUCUCUAAAUGGGAAGGUCCCUAUGUUGUUGAGGAAGUAUAUCGUUCCGGUGCUAUAAAGAUCAACAACAUGGAAGGCAAUUGUCCGAGAGAUGUAAAUGGGCAGAGAAUCAAGCAUUAUAUCUCAGGUACUCCCAUAAAUGUUGAAAGCAAUAUCAUCAAUACCAUAACUCCGGAAGAUUACCUAAGGGACAUUUAUCAGCUUGUUUUAGACUCCGAAAACGAAGAGGUAUGUGAUUCGGUAAGAAAACAAAGUCCAAAACUUUUCCAGUAGGAAAUUUUCUCCGUUUUGGAAUUUUUGAAAAAAUAAAAAAUUGGAAGUAGUCCGGAAAGUGCGCGAGGAGGCGACAAGCCUGCCCGGCACUGGCCCACUCCCUGGCCGCGCCUGGGGGCUUGUGGCCACCUCGUGCGCCUCCCGGACUCCGUUUUCGUGCGGAAUACUCCUUCUGGUCUGGAAAAAAUCAAUAUAUAUUCUCACGUUUGGUCUGACCCCUGUAUCACGCAGAUUUCCUCUGUUUUUCGUUUCGAGCCUGUUUUUGUUGCAGACCUAGAUCGCUAUGACUUCCCCAAAAGCUCCGAAGGACAAGAUCUUCGAGAAGGUCAUCAACCCCUACCUCACGGGAGUGCUGCAACACCCUCAAUCUAUCGAGAUGCAUGAGGGGAUGUUGCACAUCCGUGAUGUUGAGGGGCCCAAGAAGACCGGAAGCGUGGAGACGAGGCUCGAAGCAAUGGAACAACAAGUCUUCAAGUGCCAGGGGAUGGUGGAGUGUGGACUCAACGCCAACCACAUGAUGAUCACGGAGUUCACCAACAAGCACAGGAUUGAUGCCAAUGACAUUGGGAAGCACCUCUCCACGCUCUAUGACAUGAUUGAUCAACUCCAGGCCCAGAUCUAUGACCUGCAGAACCAAAACUGUGAGUAUGAGUAUAGAUUUAAAUCAAUACGGUUGGCUGCAGAUUUGAGGAUUCCGGAGACUCGUUCAUCUUUCCAUGAUGGAGCACCUAUGCCUUGGAAGACGGAGGAUCAAACCCUUGUUACAAAAACUCCACCACCAUCACCUCCAAAGGAAGACAACUAAACAUGGGUAUGGGCAACCCCCUUGGCUUGUGCCAAGCUUGGGGGAGUUGCCCCGGUAUCGUAUCACCAUCACUUCUUCUGCCUUUACCUUUGUUUCAGUUUUCUUUUUCUCUAGUAGAUUAAAAGUCUUAGUGUUUUGGUCUUGAGUUUUGCUUUGUGUCACCCCCGAUGUAUUCGAGCUCGUGAGCCAUAUAAUAAAGAGUGUCUUAGUUGAAGGGUUUUGCCUCUUGCCAUGAUCAAAAGAGCGAGAAAAGAACAAAAGCAUGAAAGAUCAUGUAAUGAUCUUAUGGGAAGUGAUGGCUUCACAUAUAAAAGGGAUGAUGAUUGAAACUUGUUGAGGGUAGACAAACGUAGACCUUGGUCAUUGUUGCAAUUAAUAGGAAGUGAUAAAGAAGGAGAGGUUCACAUAUAAAUACAUCAUCUUUGACACCAUCUAUGAUUGUGAAUACUCACUAAACUAUUGCAUGCCUAGAAGUAGAUGUUGGACAAGGAAGACAACAUAAUGAAUUGUGUUUGCUUGGUUCCGAACAAUGUUAUAUGAUUAGAGAUCCCUUAGCAUGUGACGAUUGCUUCCACCUCAUAUUAGCCAAAACUCCCGCACCAAGUAGAGAUACUACUUGUGUAUCCAUAAACCUUCAACCCAGUCUUGCCAUGAGAGUCCACCAUACCUACCUCUGGAUUGAAUAAGAUCCCUCAAGUAAGUUGUCAUCGAUGCAAGCAAUAAAAAUUUCUCUCUAAUAUGUAUGAUCUAUUAGUGUGUGGAAAAUAAGUUUUAUACGAACCUGUGAUGAGGAAGACAUAAAAGCGACAGACUACAUAAUAAAGUUCUUUAUCACAGGAGGCAAUAUAAAGUGACGUUCCUUCGCACUAAGAGGACACGCAUCCAAACCUCAAAAGCGCAUGACAACCUGUGCUUCCCUCUGCGAAGGGCCUAUCUUGUACCUUUGCUUUUUGCCCCUGAAAGAGUCAUGGUGAUCUUCACCAAUUCCCUAUUUCGCCUUUAUCUUGGCUACCGUCAUAUGCUUGGGAAAGAUCUAUAUUCAUAUGUCAACUUGGAGGUAAGUAUUCAUGAAUUAUUAUUGUUGACAUUACCCUUGAGGUAAGCAGUUGGCAGGCAAAACUAUAAGCCCCUAUCUUUCUCUGUGUCCAGCUGAAACUUUGAUCUCAUCAGUACCACGUGAGUUGUAGCAAUUGUAGAGAAUGAAAAGAUGAUUGAGUAUGUGGAUUUGCUUUACAAGCUCUUAUUUGCCUCUUUCUGAUGUUGUGAUAAAUUGCAAUUGCUUCCAUGACUACAGGCUAUUGGUUGUUACUUCUCGGUAAGGUUCAUGAUCCAUGCUUUACUUUGUGAAGGAAUUAUCACUUUAGCAUGAGAGAUUAUAUGUUGGUAUUGUUGUUCUGAUCACAAUCAUGAUGCAUGCAUGUUCGUAUUCUGUUUUGUCGACACCUCUCUCGCUAAACAUGUGGACAUAUUUAUUGAGCUCGGCUUUCGCUUGAGGACAAGCGAGGUCUAAGCUUGGGGGAGUUGAUACGCCCAUUUUGCAUCAUGUUUUCAUUUUGAUAUUUAUCGCUUCUUGGGCUAUUAUUUCACUUCACGGGACAAUACUUAUGCCUUUUCUCUCUUAUUUUGCAAGGUUUACAUGAAGAGGGAGAAUGCCGGCAGCUGGAAUUCUAGCCUGAAAGUGGAGCAAGUUUGAGAUACCUANAAUACUCCUUCUGGUCUGGAAAAAAUCAAUAUAUAUUCUCACGUUUGGUCUGACCCCUGUAUCACGCAGAUUUCCUCUGUUUUUCGUUUCGAGCCUGUUUUUGUUGCAGACCUAGAUCGCUAUGACUUCCCCAAAAGCUCCGAAGGACAAGAUCUUCGAGAAGGUCAUCAACCCCUACCUCACGGGAGUGCUGCAACACCCUCAAUCUAUCGAGAUGCAUGAGGGGAUGUUGCACAUCCGUGAUGUUGAGGGGCCCAAGAAGACCGGAAGCGUGGAGACGAGGCUCGAAGCAAUGGAACAACAAGUCUUCAAGUGCCAGGGGAUGGUGGAGUGUGGACUCAACGCCAACCACAUGAUGAUCACGGAGUUCACCAACAAGCACAGGAUUGAUGCCAAUGACAUUGGGAAGCACCUCUCCACGCUCUAUGACAUGAUUGAUCAACUCCAGGCCCAGAUCUAUGACCUGCAGAACCAAAACUGUGAGUAUGAGUAUAGAUUUAAAUCAAUACGGUUGGCUGCAGAUUUGAGGAUUCCGGAGACUCGUUCAUCUUUCCAUGAUGGAGCACCUAUGCCUUGGAAGACGGAGGAUCAAACCCUUGUUACAAAAACUCCACCACCAUCACCUCCAAAGGAAGACAACUAAACAUGGGUAUGGGCAACCCCCUUGGCUUGUGCCAAGCUUGGGGGAGUUGCCCCGGUAUCGUAUCACCAUCACUUCUUCUGCCUUUACCUUUGUUUCAGUUUUCUUUUUCUCUAGUAGAUUAAAAGUCUUAGUGUUUUGGUCUUGAGUUUUGCUUUGUGUCACCCCCGAUGUAUUCGAGCUCGUGAGCCAUAUAAUAAAGAGUGUCUUAGUUGAAGGGUUUUGCCUCUUGCCAUGAUCAAAAGAGCGAGAAAAGAACAAAAGCAUGAAAGAUCAUGUAAUGAUCUUAUGGGAAGUGAUGGCUUCACAUAUAAAAGGGAUGAUGAUUGAAACUUGUUGAGGGUAGACAAACGUAGACCUUGGUCAUUGUUGCAAUUAAUAGGAAGUGAUAAAGAAGGAGAGGUUCACAUAUAAAUACAUCAUCUUUGACACCAUCUAUGAUUGUGAAUACUCACUAAACUAUUGCAUGCCUAGAAGUAGAUGUUGGACAAGGAAGACAACAUAAUGAAUUGUGUUUGCUUGGUUCCGAACAAUGUUAUAUGAUUAGAGAUCCCUUAGCAUGUGACGAUUGCUUCCACCUCAUAUUAGCCAAAACUCCCGCACCAAGUAGAGAUACUACUUGUGUAUCCAUAAACCUUCAACCCAGUCUUGCCAUGAGAGUCCACCAUACCUACCUCUGGAUUGAAUAAGAUCCCUCAAGUAAGUUGUCAUCGAUGCAAGCAAUAAAAAUUUCUCUCUAAUAUGUAUGAUCUAUUAGUGUGUGGAAAAUAAGUUUUAUACGAACCUGUGAUGAGGAAGACAUAAAAGCGACAGACUACAUAAUAAAGUUCUUUAUCACAGGAGGCAAUAUAAAGUGACGUUCCUUCGCACUAAGAGGACACGCAUCCAAACCUCAAAAGCGCAUGACAACCUGUGCUUCCCUCUGCGAAGGGCCUAUCUUGUACCUUUGCUUUUUGCCCCUGAAAGAGUCAUGGUGAUCUUCACCAAUUCCCUAUUUCGCCUUUAUCUUGGCUACCGUCAUAUGCUUGGGAAAGAUCUAUAUUCAUAUGUCAACUUGGAGGUAAGUAUUCAUGAAUUAUUAUUGUUGACAUUACCCUUGAGGUAAGCAGUUGGCAGGCAAAACUAUAAGCCCCUAUCUUUCUCUGUGUCCAGCUGAAACUUUGAUCUCAUCAGUACCACGUGAGUUGUAGCAAUUGUAGAGAAUGAAAAGAUGAUUGAGUAUGUGGAUUUGCUUUACAAGCUCUUAUUUGCCUCUUUCUGAUGUUGUGAUAAAUUGCAAUUGCUUCCAUGACUACAGGCUAUUGGUUGUUACUUCUCGGUAAGGUUCAUGAUCCAUGCUUUACUUUGUGAAGGAAUUAUCACUUUAGCAUGAGAGAUUAUAUGUUGGUAUUGUUGUUCUGAUCACAAUCAUGAUGCAUGCAUGUUCGUAUUCUGUUUUGUCGACACCUCUCUCGCUAAACAUGUGGACAUAUUUAUUGAGCUCGGCUUUCGCUUGAGGACAAGCGAGGUCUAAGCUUGGGGGAGUUGAUACGCCCAUUUUGCAUCAUGUUUUCAUUUUGAUAUUUAUCGCUUCUUGGGCUAUUAUUUCACUUCACGGGACAAUACUUAUGCCUUUUCUCUCUUAUUUUGCAAGGUUUACAUGAAGAGGGAGAAUGCCGGCAGCUGGAAUUCUAGCCUGAAAGUGGAGCAAGUUUGAGAUACCUAUUCUGCGCAACUCCAUACGCCGUAAAAAUCAACGAGGAUUUUUUCCGGAUUUAUAAAAAAUACUAGGCCGAAGAAGCGCCAGAGGGGCGCCAGCACAUGGCCACAAGCCUGCUAGGAGCGGCCACCCCCCUGGUCGCGCCUAGGGGGCUUGUGGGCAGCCUGCUGGCCCACUGGCCCCCCCUCUUCUGCUAUAUGAAGGGUUUCGUCCAGAAAAAAAAUCAGAGAGGAGCUUUUUCGUGGAUUCGCCGCUGCCACAAGGCGGAACUUGAGCAGAACCAAUCUAGAGCUUCGGCAGGACGAUCUUGCCGGGGAAACCUCCCUCCCGGAGGGGGAAAUCGUCGCCAUCGUCAUCACCAACACUCCUCUCAUCGGAGGGGACUCAUCACCAUCAACAUCUUCAUCAGCACCAUCUCAUCUCCAAACCCUAGUUCAUCACUUGUAACCAAUCUCCGUCUCGCGACUUUGAUUGGUACUUGUAAGGUUGCUAGUAGUGUUAAUUACUCUUUGUAGUUGAUGCUAGUUGGAUUAUUUGGUGGAAGAGUUUAUGUUCAGAUCCUUGAUGCUACUCAUUACCUCUCUCGUCUUGAAUAUGAUUAUGCUUUGUGAGUAGUUACUUUUGUUCGUGAGGACAUGGGAUAAGUCAUGCUAAUAGUAGUCAUGUGAAUUUGGUAUUUGUUCGAUAUUUUGAUGUGUUGUAUGUUGUUUUUCCUCUAGUGGUGUUAUGUGAACGUCGACUACAUAACACUUCACCAUUAUUUGGACCUAGAGGAAGGCAUUGGGAAGUAGUAAGUAUAUGAUGGGUUGCUAGAGUGACAGAAGCUUAAACCCUAGUUUAUGCGUUACUUCGUAAGGGGCUGAUUUGGAUCCACUAGUUUAAUGCUAUGGUUAGACUUUGUCUUAAUUCUUCUUUCGUAGUUGCGGAUGCUUGCGAGAGGGGUUAACCAUAAGUGGGAUGCUUGUCCAAGUAAGGGCAGUACCCAAGCGCCGGUCCACCCACAUAUCAAACUAUCAAAGUAACGAACGCGAAUCAUAUGAACAUGAUGAAAACUAGCAUGACAAAAUUCCCGUGUGUCGUCGGGAGCGUUUUUCCUCCUAUAAGACUUUGUCCAGGCUUGUCCCUUGCUACAAAAGGGAUUGGGCCACUUUGCUGCAUCGUUGCUACUUUUGUUACUUGUUGCUCGCUACGAAUCAUCUCAUCGCACAAUCACUUGUUACCGAUAAUUUCAGUGCUUGCACAUAUUUCCUUGCUGAAAACCACUUGUCAGAUCCUUCUGCACCUCGUUGGGUUCGACACUCUUACUUAUCGAAAGGACUACGAUUGAUCCCUUAUACUUGUGGGUCAUCAUGUACGUGCAUACGGUGCAAACCGAUUCUCAUAAUCUUCACCAAGUAAUCUGUUGUAGUAGUCUUUGCACUUCUGAUCCUGUGCUAUUUCCGCUGCACGUAAGUCAUCAGCGAGGAAUUUCCUUAGUGAUGAAAUUCUAAAAAUCGCCUAUUCACCCCCCUCUAGUCGACAUAACGUACUUUCAAUUGGUAUCAGAGCAAGUUACUCCCUUGUUCUAUGUGAUUUUGGUUUAACCACUUGGACUUUUAGUUAUGUCGACUGCAGGUAUGAUCAAGGUUACUGCAGGAUGUCCUAUCUUUGAAGGAAAGGACUUUCCCUACUGGAAGACCAAGAUGCAGAUGCAUCUUCAGGCUAUUGACAAUGAUCUCUGCUACAUUGUGGAACAUGGUAUUCCCUCCAUCGCUGCUACUGUCUCUACCGCUGAUGUGAAGAAAUUCAAGCAACUUGAUUCUUAAGCGAAUAAUAUCAUCUGUGGCCAUCUGAGAAAGAUCGGUAUGGCAGAGUGAGUGCUUUGGGCACAGCUAAGCUUAUCUGGGAUAAGCUGUCCAAAGUCAAUGAAGGAAUUUCACCUGAGCGCGGCUCUCGUGUUGAUGUUCUUCGCAAUCUAUUCAAGAGGCUUGACAAUGAAAGCUGCCAAGAUACCUUUAAUCGCCUCACUGAAUGUUGGGGAACGUCGCAUGGGAAACAAAAAUUUUCCUACGCGCACGAAGACCUAUCAUGGUGAUGUCCAUCUACGAGAGGGGAUUUCCGAUCUACGGACCCUUGUAGAUCACACAGCAGAAGCGUUAGUGAACGCGGUUGAUGUAGUGGAACAUCCUCACGUCCCUCGAUCCGCCCCGCGAACCGUCCCACGAACCGUCCCGCGAUCCGUCCCACGAUCAAGUGCCGAACGGACGGCACCUCCGCGUUCAUCACACGUACAGCUCGACGAUGAUCUCGGCCUUCUUGAUCCAGCAAGAGAGAUGAGAGGUAGAUGACUUCUUCGGCAGCGUGACAGCGCUCCGGAGGUUGGUGGAAUUCUAAUCUCAGCAGGGCUCCGCCCGAGCUCCGCAGAAACGCGAUCUAGAGGAAAAACCGUGGAGGUAUGUGGUCGGGCUGCCGUGGCAAAAGUUGUCUCAAAUCAGCCCUAAUAGCUCCAUAUAUAUAUAGGAGGAGGGAGGGGAGGCUUGCCUUGAGGCUCAAGGAGCCCCAAGGGCUGCGCACUAAGGGGAGGAGGAGUCCUCCUCCAAUCCUAGUCCAACUAGGAUUGGAAGGUGGAGUCCUUCUCUUCUUUCCCACCUUUCCUUUUUUUUAUCUUCUUUUGGUUUUUCUUUCUCUCUUGCGCAAGACAGCCUUGGGCUGACCCCACCAACUUGGUGCGCCACCCCCAAGGUCCUUGGGCCCUCCCGGGUUGGUGGUCCCCCCUCCCGGUGAAGAUCCGGAACCCAUUCGUCAUUCCCGGUACAUUACCGGUAAUGCCCAAAAACCUUCCGGUAACCAAAUGAAGUCAUCCUAUAUAUCAAUCUUCGUUUCCGGACCAUUUCGGAAACCCUCGAGACGUCCGUGAUCUCAUCCUGGACUCUGAACAACAUUCGGUAACCAACCAUAUAACUCAAAUACGCAUAAAACAACGUCGAACCUUAAGUGUGCACACCCUGCGGGUUCGAGAACUAUGUAGACAUGACCCGAGUGACUCCUCGGUCAAUAUCCAAUAGCGGGACCUGGAUGCCCAUAUUGGAUCCUACAUAUUCUACGAAGAUCUUAUUGUUUGAACCUCAGUGCCAAGGAUUCAUAUAAUCCCGUAUGUCAUUCCCUUUGUCCUUCGGUAUGUUACUUACCCGAGAUUCGAUCGUCAGUAUCCGCAUACCUAUUUCAAUCUCAUUUACCGGCAAGUCUCUUUACUCGUUCCGUAAUACAAGAUCCCGCAACUUACACUAAGUCACAUUGCUUGCAAGGCUUGUGUGUGAUGUUGUAUUAUCGAGUGGGCCCCGAGAUACCUCUCUGUCACACGGAGUGACAAAUCCCAGUCUCGAUCCAUACUAACUCAACGAACACCUUCGGAGAUACCUGUAGAGUAUCUUUAUAGUCACCCAGUUACGUUGCGACGUUUGAUACACACAAAUCAUUCCUCCGGUGUCAGUGAGUUAUAUGAUCUCAUGGUCAUAGGAACAAAUACUUGACAUGCAGAAAACAGUAGCAACAAAAUGACACGAUCAACAUGCUACGUCUAUUUGUUUGGGUCUAAUCCAUCAAAUGAUUCUCCUAAUGAUGUGAUCCCGUUAUCAAGUGACAACACUUGCCUAUGGUCAGGAAACCUUGACCAUCUUUGAUCAACGAGCUAGUCAACUAGAGGCUUACUAGGGACAGUGUUUUGUCUAUGUAUCCACACAUGCACUGUGUUUCCAAUCAAUACAUUUAUAGCAUGGAUAAUAAAGGAUUAUCAUGAACAAAGAAAUAUAAUAAUAACUAAUUUAUUAUUGCCUCUAGGGUAUAUUUCCAACAGUCUCCCACUUGCACUAGAGUCAAUGAUAUAGUUCACAUCACCAUGUGAUUCCAACGAAUCCAACACCCAUAUAGUUCUGGGGUCUGAUCACGUCUCGCUCGUGAGAAAGGUUUUAGUCAACGGUUCUGAAACUUUCAGAUCCGGGUGUUCUUUACAAAUCUUUGUGUCAUCUUAUAGAUGCUGCUACUAUGUGCUAUUCGGAAAUACUCCAAAUAUCUACUCUACUAUACGAAUCCGUUUCACUACUCAUAGUUAUUCGGAUUGGUGUCAAAGCUUGCAUCGACGUAACCCUUUACGACGAACUCUUUAACCACCUCCAUAAUCGAAGAAAAAAUUCCUUAGUCCAUCAGUUACUACGGAUAAAUUUUGACCGCUGCUAGUGAUUCAAUCAUGGAUCACUCUCUGUACCUCUCAACAGACUUUGAGUCAAGGCACACAUCAGGUGCGGUACUCAGCAUGGCAUACUUCAGAUUCUACGGCCAAGGCAUAGAAGACGACCUUCGUCUAUUCUCUUUAUUCUAUCGGGGUCAGGUUUUGAGUCUUACUCAAAUUCACACCUUAUAACACAACCAAGAACUCCUUCUUUGCUGAUCUAUUUUGAACUCCUUCAAAGAUUUGUCAAGGCAUGCAUCUUGUUGAAACUUCUAUUAAGCGCUUUCGAUCUAUCUCCAUAGAUCUUUGAUGCUCAACGUUCAAGUAGCGCAAUCCAGGUAUUCCUUUUGAAAAACUCCUUUCAAACAACCUUGUAUGCUUUACAGAAAUUCUACAUUACUUCUGAUCCAGAAUAUGUCAACCACAUAUACUUAUCAGAAAUUCUAAACUGCUCCCACUCACUUCUUUGGAAAUACAAGUUUCUCAUAAACCUUGUACAAACCCAAAAUCUUUUAUCAUAUCAUCAAAGUGUAUAUUCCAACUCCGAGAUGCUUGCACCAGUCCAUUGAAGGAUCGCUGGAGCUUGCAUACUUGCUAGUAUAUUUAGGAUCGACAAAACCUCCUGGUUGUAUCACAUACAAUGUUUGCUCAAGGAAACCGUCGAGGAAACAAUGUUUUGACAUCCUAUGUGCAAUAUUUCAUAAAUAAUGCAGCAACUACUAACAUAAUUCUAACAGACUUUUUGCAUCGCUACGAGUGAGAAAGUCUCAUCAUAGUCAAUUGUUUGAUCUUGUCGGAAACAUCUUUGCGACAAGUCGAGCUUUUCUUAAUAGUGACUUAUCACCAUCAUCAUCUGUCUUCCUUUUAAAGAUCCAUCUUUACUCAAUAGUCCUAUGACCAUCAAGUAGUUCUUCCAAAGUCUACACUUUGUUUUCAUACAUGGAUCCUCUCUCGGAUUUCAUGGCCUCCAGCCAUUUGUCGGAAUCCGGGCCCACCAUUGCUUUCUCCAUAACUCGUAGGUUCAUUGUUGCUCAACAACAUGACCUCCAAGACAGGGUUACUGUACCACUCCGCAGUAGUACGCGACCUAGUCAACCUACAAGGUUUGUAGUAACUUGAUCCGAUGCUCGAUGAUCACCAUCAUCAGCUUUCACUUCCAUUGGUGUAGGCGCCACAGGAACAACUUCCUGCGCCCUGCUACACACUGGUUGAAGUGAUGGUUCAAUAACCUCAUCAAGUUCUACCACCCUCCCACUCAAUUCUUUCGAGAGAAACCUUUCCUCGAGAAAGGAUCCGUUUCUAGAAACAAACACUUUGCUUUCGGAUCUGAGAUAGGAGAUGUACCCAACUGUUUUGGAUAUCCUAUGAAGAUGCAUUUAUCCACUUUGGGUUCGAGCUUAUCAGACUGAAACUUUUUCACAUAAGUGUCGAAGCCCCAAACUUUCAAGAAACAACAGUUUAGAUUUCUCUAAACCUCAGUCUAUACUGUGUCAUCUCAACGGAAAUACGCGGUGCCCUAUUUAAAGUGAAUGCGGUUGUCUGUAAUGCAUAACCCAUAAACGAUAGUGGUAAUUCGAUAAGAGACAUCAUAGCAUGCACCAUACCUCUUAACAAGGGCACAAGCAUGAAAUCACAAUUUCAUCUCUUUAGAACAUCUCUUAUGUUCCGUGACGUUUCAAAACGUCUUCGGUGCCUUGCUUCUAAGGCAUUAAGUAUUUUGUACUGAACUAUCGUGUAGUCAUCAGAAACGUGUAUGUCGGAUGAUCACAACAUCUACAGACGACUCUCGAGGUGCAGCACACCGAGUGGUGUAUUAAGGACAUAAGCCUUGCGCAGCAACGAGGACAAUCCUCGGUUUUACAGACUCAGUCUGCAAAGUUUGCUACUAUCAACUUUCAACUAAAUUUUCUCUAGGAACAUAUAAAAACAGUAGAGCUAUAGCGCAAGCUACAUCGUAAUUCGCAAAGACCAUUAGACUGUGUUCAUGAAAAUUAGUUCAAUUAAUCAUAUUACUCAAGAACUCCCACUCAAAAAGUACAUCUCUCUAGUCAUUUGAGUGGUACAUGAUCCAAAUCCACUAUCUCAAGUCUGAUCAUCACGUGAGUCCAGAAUAGUUUCAGUGGUAAGCAUCUCUAUGCUAAUCAUAUCAACUAUACGAUUCAUGCUCGACCUUUCUGUCUCAUGUGUUCCGAGGCCAUGUCUGCACAUGCUAGGCUCGUCAAGCUUAACCCGAGUGUUCCGCGUGUGCAACUGUUUUGCACCCGUUGUAUGUGAACGUUGAGUCUAUCACACCCGAUCAUCACGUGGUGUCUCGAAACGAAGAACUGUCGCGACGGUGCACAGUCGGGGAGAACACAAUUUCCUCUUGAAAUUUAAGUGAGAGAUCACCUCAUAAUGCUACCGUCGUUCUAAGCAAGAUAAGGUGCAUAAAGGAUUAACAUCACAUGCAAUUCAUAAGUGAUAUGAUAUGGCCAUCAUCAUGUGCUUCUUGAUCUCCAUCACCAAAGCACCGGUACGAUCUUCUUGUCAUCGGCGUCACACCAUGAUCUCCAUCAUCAUGAUCUCCAUCAACGCGUCGCCAUCGGGGUUGUCGUGCUACUCAUGCUAUUACUACUAAAGCUACGUCCUAGCAAUAUAGUAAACGCAUCUGCAAGCACAAACGUUAGUUUAAAGACAACCCUAUGGUUCCUGCCGGUUGCCGUACCAUCAACGUGCAAGUCGAUAUUAACUAUUACAACAUGAUCAUCUCAUACAUCCAAUAUAUCACAUCACAUCGUUGGCCAUAUCACAUCACAAGCAUACCCCACAAAAACAAGUUAGACGUCCUCUAAUUGUUGUUGCAUGUUUUACGUGGUGACCAUGGGUAUCUAGUAGGAUCGCAUCUUACUUACGCAAACACCACAACGGAGAUAUAUGAAUUACUAUUUAACCUCAUCCAAGGACCUCCUCGGUCAAUUUCGAUUCAACUAAAGUUGGAGAAACCGACACCCGCGAGUCAUCUUUGAGCAACGGAGUUACUCGUAGCGAUGAAACCAGUCUCUCGUAAGUGUACGAGUAAUGUCGGUCCGAGCCGCUUCGAUCCAACAAUACCGCGGAAUCAAGAAAAGACUAAGGAGGGCAGCAAGACGCACAUCACCACCCACAAAAACUUUUGUGUUCUACUCGAGAUUACAUCUACGCAUGAACCUAGCUCUGAUACCACUGUUGGGGAACGUCGCAUGGGAAACAAAAAAUUUCCUACAUGCACGAAGACCUAUCAUGGUGAUGUCUAUCUACGAGAGGGGAUUUCCAAUCUACGUACCCUUGUAGAUCGCACAGUAGAAGCGUUAGUGAACGCGGUUGAUGUAGUGGAACGUCCUCACGUCCCUCGAUCCGCCCCACGAACCGUCCCGCGAUCCGUCCCAUGAUCAAGUGCCGAAUGGACGGCACCUCCGCGUUCAGCACACGUACAGCUCGACGAUGAUCUCGGCCUUCUUGAUCCAGCAAGAGAGACGGAGAGCUAGAUGACUUCUCCGGCAGCGUGACGGUGCUCCGGAGGUUGGUGGUGAUCUAAUCUCAGCAGGGCUCCGCCCGAGCUCCGCAGAAACGCGAUCUAGAGGAAAAACCGUGGAGGUAUGUGGUCGGGCUACCGUGGCAAAAGUUGUCUCAAAUCAGCCCUAAUAGCUCCAUAUAUAUAGGAGGAGGGAGGGGAGGCUUGCCUUGAGGCUCAAGGAGCCCCAAGGGCUGCGCACCAAGGGGAGGAGGAGUCCUCCUCCAAUCCUAGUCCAACUAGGAUUGGAAGGUGGAGUCCUUCUCUUCUUUCCCACCUUUCCUUUUUUUCUCUUCUUUUGGUUUUUCUUUCUCUCUUGCGCAAGACAGCCUUGGGUUGACCCCACCUACUUGGUGCGCCACCCCCAAGGUCCUUGGGCCCUUCCGGGUGGGUGGUCCGCCCUCCCAAAUUUAUUAUUGCCUCUAGGGCAUAUUUCCAAUAGUGACAUCUCAAAUGAAUUGCAAGCACUAGGAACUCGAGACAUCAUUGACCAUGAAGUUGUGAAGAAACUGCUAAGUUCUCUGGAUCCAUCAUUUGAUACACUGGUUGUGAUGAUUCAAGAAAGAGGAAACUAUAAGAUGCUUGAUCCCGCUGAUAUACUUGAAAGACUCAAUACUCAUGAAUUCCAACAGGAAGAAAAGAGAGAUCUGUAUGGACCAAGCUACUCAAGACCUCAUGCGCUGAAGGCUAAGCAAUUUCCUCAUCUGAAGAAGAAGAUUCAGAUUGCAACGUUGGUGAUCCUGAAGAACUUGGACAGGAGCUUGCAAUGCUCGUGAGGAAAUUCCAGAAGUUUACAAGGCGUGUCCAGUUUGGUAAAUCUUCAAGAAGAGAUAUGAGGAAAUCAGAAUCUUCAUAUGAGGACUACAAGAAAAGAACCUGGCACAAAUGCAAGAAAUCUGGUCACUACAUUGCUGAUUGUCCUCGCUGGGUGAAGGAAUCAAAGAAGAUGAAAUACAAGGAUGAAAGUUCUCAUGACUCGAACAAAAAGAAGAAAUCUUCAAAAUCCCCAUCCUCAGAGUCCUCAUUGCACAAGAAGACUAGUUUCAGAAAGGCUCGGGCACUCAUUGGCAAGGAAAUGGAUUCUGAGGAAGAAUCUGAGGAAUGUGAUGAAGAGGAAGGUUCUGAAGAAGACCCAAAGUCUGGUGUGGUAAGUCUUGCACUGGCUACCACAUUCGUCAGCAAGUCAAUCUUCAACCUUGAAGAAAAUAACAAUGCUAUCUACGUUGAUGACUAUGGUGAUGACUUUGCUCCAACCUAUUUAUUCAUGGCAAAAGGUUCAAAGCUAACAAAUGACACUUCCUCCUCUGACUCAAGUGAUUGUGAACCUGAUGAUUAUAAAAAACCCAGCUACAGUAAACUUGCCAACAUUGCAACUAAACAACAAAGUGCCAUUGAAAAGCUUCAAAAACCGCUAGACAUAAGCGAUGACAUGUUGAAUGAUGAAAUGAAUCGUACUCAAAUCCUCACUGAAGAUGUGAAAAGUCUUCAGUCUAGAUUUGAUAGUCUUCAAGAUCGUUAAGGCACAAUCUUGGUUGAUCAUGAGAAACUUUCCUAUGAAUUUCUUCUAAGGAAACUUGAUCUUGAGUAGUUGAAGAUGUCUCAUGACGAUCUUCGAAUGGAAAACGAUUCAUUGCUUGCUUAACAGAUCAGUGCCGCUCAGGUUGAAUUCACUCCACCAUGUAUCAAAUGCAUCGAGCGUGAAACUACCAAUUCUUCACCAGAAUCAUCAAAUGCUUUUAUCACUGCAAAUUCCUCAACUGCUCCUGUGGUAUCAAAUUCCUCACUUGAGGAAACCACAAAUGUUACUGACGAAAAUGCAGGGCUGAAGGAAUCUGGGUCCCCAAAAGUUCCUUGGAAAAUCUUCACGUGAAUGUCCUCAUGACACCACCUAUGAAGAACCUGAACCCCAGAUCAAAUUCCUCAGGUGGACCAAAGUCUUCAAGAGGAUCAAAAUCCUCAACUGGUCAAAACUAUGCUCGUACUCGUGCUAAUGCUUCUGAUAUGCAUGGAAAUUACAAGGGAUAUGAAUAUGAGCAUUAUACCUCAAAUCAUUAUGUUCAUAAAUCCUCAAAGAACUUCUCUGCCUAUUCAUUUGAGUACUCUACCCCCCCCCCCUCUGUGAAGAGAAGUGCAUUAGCUUCAAUGUCCCCUUUCUCAUAUGGUGCUCGCAUGAUGAUGAACUCUUUGCCACCCCUUGAGAUGUGGGUGGUGAAGAAAUUGAACUAAUCACUUCUCCAGGUCAGGUCUCUAGAUGAAAAUCAUCAUCUGAAGAAAUUGUUGGAGACCUGAGGAAAAUGCUUGAUUGGACGCAAGCUAAAAUUGAUGAAAUGAUAACAUUUCACACGUCCUCAAA